This 47479-nucleotide long non-coding RNA is filed under the name Ananas comosus (pineapple). RNAcentral describes it as "long non-coding RNA (ACOM_LNC022227)". The record is from RNAcentral. Lineage: Eukaryota; Viridiplantae; Streptophyta; Magnoliopsida; Poales; Bromeliaceae.
GUUCCCAGUGGGUACGGUUGUUAGUGAUAAACCCUAAAGCCAAUCGGUGACAUAGGCUUGUGGAUAUAUUAAGUAUUUUUCUUAAUUAAUAAAGGGCAAGUUUUAUUCAUAUUUAUUGUUCGCAGUACAAUAUAUAUAUAUGAAUCGUCCGUUGAAUCUUCGUUAAGAAAAUAUAUUCCUAAGAGUUAGGAAUUUGAGAUAUAUAUUUCUUAGUACAAGANGAGAUAUCAUUAAUUGACGUGAAUAGGAUUCAAAUAUUCUUCUCUCUCAAACUUUCGUAAGUCCACAAUAAUUUUCACAAGAAGGAACGUAGACAUCGGAAGACUGCUAGCACCGUCUUCGUGAUCUGCGACUCAUCUGUUCCAUACGACGGAAGGCGUUGGAUCGGGAUCAAUUCCGUGUGGAUACGCGUAGAGGCCGGGCACGUGCGCGGCUAAUCGGAGGAUCAACUUCAACCGUACAGUAGAUCAAGAGACCUUAACUGGUCCAAGGUAAUGUAAUCUAAACUUCGGAUUUGUUUAGAUUAGAUUUUAUUUUACAUUGUAACAUGAGAAUGAUCCGCCGGCACUGGAUUGAUUUGUUUUGUUUUGUUUCAUAUGUGAUAUGGAUUUCGUUUUCGUUUUUCCGCUGCGAUUUUUUUAAGUGCCGGAUAUAUUUUCUAACAACGGUCACCCAAGGGAAGAGCUUAACCCACCAGGUCCAAAGGAGGCACUGCAAACAUGUUAGUCCAACAGAUAUCCACAUAUAUAACAUCAUAUAAUUCAUGCAACUAACAGUUAUCAUGUUCAUGCCUCACAACAUGCAACCAUGCAACUCAACAUGCAUCAAUGUAAGUCAUGCAACUCAACGUGCAACAAUGUAAGUAGCUCUACUGAUUCUACUUUCUAUCUCGCUAUCCACAACUUUUCCACAAUUUAUACCUCUUGCUAUUUUACAUUUUUGGCCAUUUACUUCUAAGGUUCCUCUACCUUAGAUCUAUAUCAUUCACUCUUUGCUCUUAAGGUUUCUUCUACUUUAACCAAGCUAGCCACCCGACUCGGCCUCGAGUCAAUUAUCUGCGGAAUACCGCAUAUAGCCAGGCUCGAGGUGAAGGACGUCUCAUAUGCACCUCAGCCUUAAAUCCACUCAACUAGGAUGCCAAAUCCACUCUACUAGGAUUCAUCCUCAGCUCAUAAUGCAUGACACUCAUAUGCUUGUCACCCAAUCUCACUGGCUAACCGUAAGGUUAAUCCCCGACUCACUUCUCAAUCUCAUAGGUGAGGAGAAUCUGCGCUACGCACACCCAAGACCAUUUGCUGGGUAAUUACGUUAACCCAUAGUGUGACAACUCCGGAGCUCACUGCUUGGGUGGAGCGACCACCGCCAAGCUCAAAACAGACUAUGUGAGUAUGAUCCAAUCCUCUCAGCUCGAGGAUACCCUAUCAACUAGGGAUAACAACAAACUCGGGAAGUCCACCAAUCCCAAUAUUCAUGUCACAAGUGUCUCUACUACACUAGUUUCACAUGCCACUCUUCUAUGUCAUUUUCUGGUUCAAGUUCAUCACUUGUUCUUAGCACUAUAGGAUUCCAUGUCAAAACCCAAUCCUCAUGCAUCCACUAGAUCAUGUGUCCAACUCACAUUUCUAUUUCUACUAUGGAAGGAUGCAAGGAAUUAAAUUCCAUCUAACCACAUAUCUUACAAUGCAUAAUAUCAACAUAUACACCCAAUGACACUAGGUUCAAUGCCACUCGAUCUACUUGACAUUCUAGUUGUCCACAUCGAGUAUUAUAGUUUACAUGUCCUUAUUUUUCAAUGUCGAGUUCUCUAACAAACCUAGAGUUAUCGACCCAAGUUCACAUUUCAUCUAUCUCAUGCAUUCAUAUGUUUUACAAUUAACUACUAUUAUAUGCAUCAAUGAUAAAUAACAUUUCACUUCGACAUGAAAGUGAGCUAAUCUCUUCGGUGAGCACAACCCACCUCGCAACACUCUCUGAUUGCUUGUCGACACUUGCAAUCGGGCUCCCGUGGCACUCGUCGCCCGGUUCGGCUCGACUCCCAAUCGACCACCGAACGCGCACCAAUCCGCAACCUAGAGUUAUCUGGGACCUUUCUCUAACCUUUAAUUAGAGAAACGUAGGGUUAAUUUAGAUCAAAACCCCAAAAUUCCCAAAAGCCUCAUUUCUAAGCCCUAGCAUGAGCAUAUUCUCCAAAUAACCCAAAAUCUCAUGGAGGAACAUGCAUAUAAUUAGCCUAGGGAUCACUAGAAUGCUAUUCAUGAAGGAUUUAACCAAAUCCUAAACUCUUACCAAAAUGCGAACCUCGAGUCGGAAGCACGCCGCUCAACCGGGCGCACGAGAACUCGAACCGUCGCUCUCAACACGUUCUCAAGCUCGCUCUCCGCCAACCCCACGAAUUUGGGAGAGAGAUCUAGAGAGAGAAGGAAGAAAUCUAGAAAGAGAGAGGGAGAGUUCCUCUCUCCUCCAUGUGUGUGGGUGUGUGGUGGGCUGAGGAAGACGAAGAAAGGGGAAGAAACCCCUUUUUAAAGUCAAUCUCCACCACAAAAUUACAAGAAUGCCACUCUGCCUAGGCACUUUUCGGGUUCAGGGUCCGAACCCUGGCCCUAGGGUCCGGACCCCGUAGGUCCACCAGCCCCAAAAUUCAGCCUUUUUCAACUUUUCGCCGAUUCACUUUGUUUUCGCUCGUCGGGCCUUCGAAUCAUCUCUAAUCAUUCUGAGACCCCCAAAACACGUUUUCGAGCGCGUUUAGACCAUCUUUUCAUCCAUGCUUUGCCGGAUUUAGCCCAAGGUUAAACAUAGCUAUUCGAGCUCCGUUUUCGCGCCCAACACGCACCGAAAACACUUGGAUGCUCCCGAACGUCACCGGAACUACUCCAAGAAUAGCUUUCCAAACUAACAUCCAUCGUAACUUCAUAACUAUAGAAGUUCGGUAUGUUACAAUUUAAUUAAUCCCUAUAGACAUAAUGAAAUUAAUAUUGUAACAUUAUCUCAGUUUAUAGGAAAAUAAAGAUAGCAUGUUAUAGGAGAUAUGUUAUAGGAGAUGCACAUAAACUGAACAUGAAAAAAAUCUCAAAAAAAAUUCUACAUGGACACCAUUAAGUAAGAAACAGUUGCUUUUUCAUUGCCACAUAUCCACAAACACCUAGCCUGCAAAGAUAGAGCAUGGUGUUUUGAACUAAAAUUUUCACAUAUCCACAAACACCUAGCCACAUACACAUAAACUAAUUUGAACUAAAAUUUCUGAACUAAAGUUUCCAAACUAAUUCAACCCAACAUGCACACAAACUAAAUUUAAAAAUUGAAUCUAAACUAAGUUAAAAAAAAGUUAAUCACUCUCAAAAUUAAAAUAAAUUUUUGCAUACAAAAAUAUGAAAUUUUAUUUUCUUAAAAAUAUUGUGAUAUAAAAUUUUUUUGGUACCAGUGUAAAAAUUGAAAAAUCGUGCUCACUCGAGUUGGCGUCCGGGAUCGAAGUGUAGGGGCCGCGGCACAGGAUUGACGCAUCUCGCCUCGUCCGGAAUCGAUCGACUUGCGCAAAGUCGGGAAAGCGUGGGAGGAGGUGUGCAGGGGCCGCGGCUUCGUCCGAGCGUCGGAUCGGAAGGGAGAGUGCUAGCAGAGAGAGGGAGAAAGAGGAAAAGAAAGAGAGAGAAAGAGGAAAAGAGAAAGGGAGAGUGCCUGCAAGAAAAGAAAGAGAGAGGACAAAGAGUGUGUGUGUUUGCUAGAGAGAGAGCGUAGAGUGUGGAGGAGAAAGAGAGUAACAGCAUCUCCGUUAGCUUCUCUCAUCAAUAUUGCAUGGAUAUCGAGGCAGGAUGUAAUCCAACGGUAAUAAAAUCCCAAGCACCGGAUAUAGUUUAUUGUGUUCCAAUAAACCACAAGUCGCCACGUGGCGCAUUUUCAUGAAAAGUUCUAAUAUGACUUGAUAAUAGUAUAAUUUAUUGUGUUUCAAUAUUAUAUAUACUAGUGAAGGGUCCGCGCUUCGCAGUGGAUAGUUAAUUAAAAUAUAUAAUUAUUAAAAUUUUAAAAUUAAAAAAUUAUAACUAAAUAAAACAUUAUCAAAUUGUAUUAUGUACAUUACAAAAAAUAAUAUUUUGAUUAAUAUUUUCUUAAUUUUUGAAUUGUUAUAUUAGUCUAAUAACUUUAUUUAAAAAUUAAUCAAAUUUAAUAGUUUUGAAAACUGUUCUAUAAAUAAUUUUUUUAACUAAAAAAAAAAAUCUUGAUGCAUUGCUUAACCUACACGUCAACUAAAUUUCGUAAAUACAAAAUUAAUUUAAACUACAUCAAUCUUACUUCUUUUUUUUUAAUGUACAAUCUAUAUCUAAAUACUUUAAUAGUCUAAACGAAUUAAAAAAUAUUUAUAUAUUUAAAUUUUAUAAAAAAUAAAAAAAUUAAAUUGAAUUAAAAAUAUAAAUAAUAUAUAUAUAUAUAAUAUAUAUAUAUAUAUAUAUAUAAUAUAUAUAUAUAUAUAUAAUAUAUAUAUUAUUAUAUAUAUAUAUAUAUAUAUUCUGCCCAUAUCAUGAAGUGAGAAAAAUUAAAAUAGCAAAAUAAUAAAUAGAAAAUAAAAAAAGAUAAAACACUUCGCUCUCUCAUCUCCCUCCGAAUGGGCCCACCCACACAGGGCCUAUCCCUGCCGCAUCGCGCCAGAUAGACGCCUAGCGUCGCUGCUCCUCCGCCAGCUGUGCCGACGCCAGGCCGCGCACUGAGUAUCAACACGCCCAGCUCGCCCCGUCCACCGCGCCCUGCGCCUGCUCCCGCUCGCGCACCCCCGCCCGCGCCUUGCCUGCUCCCGCCUGCCCCCGCUAGGUGUAAGGACUGAGAUUUUGAUAGUGUAGCUAAACUCUUUGUUGAUAAUGUUUUUGUGUGUAUUUUAAUUACAAAAGCACUCGUCAAGUUUUAGGAGAUAACGAGUUUGAAUGGAGAAGUUACGCGACUUUUACUUUACACUUAAAGUGAAUAGUAACCUGAAUUUUCGGAGAGGCCAAGGUGUAGAGAUUGCUUCUGACGCGUAUCGGACUCUAUUCAUAGUGAUCCAAUAGUUCGUUUUCAAUGGUCUAACUAUUCUGGAACCGUUGGCGCUGAUGGAUUUUAGGUUUGGCACACGGAUUUUGAGAAAACUUGAGAUACAUAUAUUUUAUGUAUUUAUGUGCGGGUUUUGCCUUUAGGAGAGAGGAUGGGUUUCGUCAUGAAUCUGUGACCAAACCAGGUAAAACAAAAUAGUGGAUUUGUUGUCUUUGUCGUGUUGAUCGUACUGGUGCAAUCCGUUCGCAAAUCUGACGGACGGAUCUCCUGAUAUCGCGCGUCGAUCGAGGAGGGGUCAUUAAUGGCAAAAUGGUAAUUUUGGCGAAAAGCCCUACAUUUUAUGUACCGUUUUGCCUGAAAUCGGAUGUGGGGGUGUGUUCGCACGUUUUACUUGUGCUGUGAGGGACUUAGUAUGGAAACCUGAGUUUUCGUGGACUUUCGCACAAAAUUACACCUUGUAUAUAUGUAUACACAAGGGUUUCUUCAUGCUAACCCUAACCCUAGCCCUAACUGCGACCCUAGCCGCCUCCUUUGCUUCCCUCUGCCCUAGUCGCGUGCACCCUGGCCGCCGGCGCAAGCCUCCGGCUGCCGGAAUAGCCACAUUAUCAUCUUUGUCCUCUUUUUUCUUCACCAACCCUACCACCUCUGUCGUGGACCACUAGGGGGGAUCUAUACCCUCGGGCCCCCUCUGGCAGUGACCCCCGAUCUCCGGCAACUGUCCCCGCCGGUCGCCGCCGCCUCCGCGCUCCGCCGCGACCGCCCAGGCAACUUGCGGCUGGACUGCGCCAGCUCGGGCCGAGGGAGCUCUCUCUCCUCUCGCACCGCAGUCGCCUGCGGCCGCCCCUGCCGCCUCCCCUAGAGCGCCGGUGACCUCCUUCGCUGGCCGCAGCCCUUUCCGUGCGCCGCAGCAUCGUUGCUGCCAACUUGCGGCCAACCCAGGUUGGUGCGGCCGAACUCUGCAGCGUCGCGCUCCUAGCCACCGGCCGCCGUCCCCAUCCCUUCCCCUCGGUCCUAGAGGAGUCCCGCAUCACUCCCCUGGCAGGUCCAACCGUCGCCGUGGCCGGAGAAGCUCGCUGAGCCCGAGCUCGGCUUGUGCGGGCUCAGUUUGCUCCAUCGUCGCCACCGCCGCCUCCGGCCGUCGAUCGGCGCCAGCCCCGGCCUCCCCACGUCGGCCGCACCCGUCGGCAGCCGGCGCACCUACCGCCGAGCCGUCGUCGGCUGUGCCCUAGCUCCCACUACCCGGGAAGUCUUCGCAGUGCUGCUUUUGACUAUUGUUCUGGGUUGCGCACCAUUUUUCGGCAAUCCGAGGCUGUCCCGAUGCCUCCGGAGGUGAGCACGGUGAUCCCUUGUCAGUGCUGAUCACAAUGCUCAUCUUACUUAGGAUCAGCGGUUGCCGAAACUGUAUUUUCGGCGCAGUUUUCCUUUAGUGCGCGCUGUUCGCUGAAUGUUUAGGUCGCUCCCGCACCUCCCAUAGUGAGCCGUUGUGCUCCGGAUCAUGAGCACGGCCUCCGACAUGUCAAGACCUGUCAGUACGUGUCUUGGCGGACCUUGAAAGUCCUCGGUUUGCAUUAACGAGCCACAAAAUCACCAGAUUUACAUAAAAUAAUAGGAUUUUAUGUAAAUGUAGGGAUUUUUAUACAAUUGUGCAUCUUGUGGCUACUGUGGGCGAUACGUAUGUGUAUAUGGUGACCUCUAGACUGAUUGUCCAAGGUCCGAUAGCUUUCGCGAAAAUCGAAUAGCGAUUUCAUUGCGUUUUUCGACGAAAUUUGCCGGCGAAACGCGGUUUUGGUUCGAAUUUCAUCUGACGGUGUUUGUUUGCCCUCAGAGUUGUCGUUGAGCCUUGUCGGCUGGUCACCAUCGUCAUAUCGUGAGUUCGGAGAUGACGGGUGAGCGAUGGUGGGUUUCAAUGUCGAAAUUGACACUUCCGGGAACCCGGAUCCGAACAAUUAUCUGGCGAUAAUUGUUUAGUUGUGUAUUCUUGUAUUUGCUGCCAAGACGUUCAAAUCAAUGUAUUUUGUGGCAGCGGGUGACUCGUGGCACGAGUCGGUGAGUUUCGGAACACUUAAUGGAUCCCGACGACGUCCCGGUGUGAUUUUUGGAACUUCCGGCGAGUUACGGUGAUCGGUUUUGGAAAACCGAUUUCGGAAAUUUAUGUGGGGUUUGUGAGUUAGGUAUUUUUGAAUUGGUGGGUUGGUUACUGACCCGAUAGAUCUUCGUAGGUCCGGUUGACUCGUUGCGUACUUAGGUUUCCAGCGCAUUUGUGACAGGUGGGUGCUUCGAGCUGGUAGUCGGUGAGAUCGUUUCGCUUUCCUCUCCCUUGCUCUUGUAUAUCAGUACUUUGGUCUCUACAUGUCAGUUGCUUUUGUUUAUCGCUUGUUCAUCUAUACUUGUUGCUUGCAUGAUGAUUGUUGUUAGUAGACAUGUAGAACAGGCUUGCAUUUAUUGUAUAUCUGUGGACCUUGGGUCCAGGCAACACUUUGACUCCUUUGUCGUGUGUUUCGAUCUAGUUGAUCGUGGUUCGGCGUUGUAUGCCCUUGUAUUUUGCUUCGGCCAAGGCACUGGUUUUCGUAUUGAGCAUAUCAGCAUGAUUUAGUCACAGCACUGUGUAUUCUAGACACCGGUUGGUUUGGCCACCAACCAGAGGGUGUACGUAUCCGGAUAGGUCGUCGGUAGACGCAUGAAUCAAAGUUAGUGUAUGCUCUGUAACAGAAAAUGCUUAAGGUCUGCGAACCAAUAUGGCAGGCACCGGAUUGGGUUUGAUUUGGAUUAUAUACCCUUGAGGCAUAUGUUCAGUUGAGUUGUUGAUAUAGUAGUAGUUUGGUUCUUGCUCAUUUACUACCAUGUUUCUAUUACUACUGUAGUUGCUUUUAUAUCAUACCAUAUACAUAUCUGUUGUUCUAUCUCCUUUAUUUUUCAGUGAAUACGAUUUGCUUCCGUGGCUCUGUCGUACCCACUGGAAAAUCUUGAUUGUGGUUUCUCACCCCCUAUUUCUCCAGGUGGUUCGGGCAAGGAGUUGGCGUUUGGACCAACAGGAGGACGUCCUAGCUAGGCUACAAUAGCGGUCAUCACCCUGGUUACCUUUUCUUUCUGCAUUUAGUAAAUUGAAUAAUGAAUGGUUCAGUUAGAUGAUCCCUAUGAAUGUUUGAAUGUUCGUGAACUUGUUUGAGUUCGUGAUUUCCAUUAUGCAUGCGAUUGGGGAUUUUUUUGAUCCGUGGUUUUGGUUUUAUGGAUAAUUGGUUCUUGGAUUUGUGUAUUUAUGUAUCGUGGUUUUCUACCCCUCGAGGUAGUCGAUUUUCAAAAUGGAGUUUCCGAGUAGGAAACAGUUUUAAAAGGUUUUUGAAUGGUUUUUAUGAAUGAUUAAAUAGAGUUUAAAAAUAAAGCUUCCGGGUGGGAAGCACUUUCAAAUAGGAUGACUGUUAUACUGUGCAUCACAUCAUCCAGCGCCUAAGGAGUGUUUAGAGACAUGCAUUAUCUCUAAGGAUCACUAGCUGUAUGGAAAUGCAUCGCAUGGAUUAUUUGUAGAUUGGUGAAUGUAAGUUGUAGUUGUGAUCCUGAUGUAUUGUUGGUAUGCCAUACAAAUACAAAGGAGACUCUGUCCGAGUGGACAGAGGAACUUUGUAUUUGUGACGAGUUUGUACGUCAUGUGGGCCAGGUUGAAUUCAAAAAAAAAAUGGCACGUUUUUCGUAACUCUGAUUUCAAAAAUGGUAUUCAUUAUAAAAAAAGCUUUUAAAAUCGACCCCAGGGCGUGACACUAGGGUUUUGGAAGCUUUUACAGGGAUGGGUUUGCGGAAGUCGGAGUCGUCAAACCCGGCAGUGUAGGAGGAGAGGGGGGCGAGGCCGAGGGAGGAGGCGAAGGAGGCUACCUCGGAUUUGAGGCGGUCGAGGUCCUCGGCGGAGGAGGAUGCGGCAGUGGUGGUGGCGGUGAAGGUGGGUUGGGGCUUCUUCAGCUUCGAGAUCGCCAUUAUCAAACUUAGGGAGAAGGGUUUAGGGUUUUGUCGAUGGAGGAAAAAAAAACAACUUUGUCGUCGCCGCCUAAGCCGCCACCACCGUCGUCGUCGCCACCUAAGCUGCCACCACCGCCGUCACCGCCUAAGCCAGCCAAAUCUCUGCAUGAAAAAAGUUUUUUAUGAAAGAGAGAAAGAGCAAUAGAAUGGGAAGAGACAUAAUAGAGAAGGAGAAAGAGAGAGAGAAAGCAUGGGAGAGUAGGGGAGGGGGAGAGACAGAGAAUGGGGGACAGCCGUAGUAGAGAAGAGAGAGAGUGGGGACAACUAGAGAAAGAAGAGAAGAGAGAGUGGGGGCUAUCUUGGGAAAAAAGAGAGAAAGAGAGAGGAGGGAAGGGGGAAGAGAAAGAUCCGAAGAGAAAGGGACCCUGGGAGGGAGAGAGAGGAAAAGGGUUGAGAGAGGGAAAGUUAGUGUGAGAGAAAGAGAGUUAGUGAGAGAUAGAGAGAGAGAGGAGAAAGGUUGAGAGAGAGAGAGAGAGAGAGAGAGAGACACUUGUAUUAGAUGGGAGAGAGAGUAAGGAGAAAGAGGGGGACCCACCCGGAAAGAGAUAGAGAGGGGAGAGAGAAGGCCCCAUCUUCCCUCUAACGCCUACGACUCGACACAUAGAAUGGGCUAAUGUGCUCAUGCCACAUGUCGUAAAGGAGUGUCAAAUUAAAUAGUGUAUAAUAAUAAAGCAGUUUCAUGAGAAGUUUCAAUAUGACUUGAUAAUAGUAUAGCUUAUUGUGUUCCAACAUUAUAUAUAUAAAGCAGUUUCAUGAGAAGUUUCAAUAUGGAAUAGAAUGAGUGAAGCUAUUUAAUUUUUUUUAUAGAAUGAGUGAAAUUAAAUUAGAAUUUUAAAAUUAAGUUCUAAAUUAAAAUUUAUAUUCNUAUUUGAAAUUAAAUUAAUUUAUACAAAUAUUUAAAAAAUUAUCAAUAUGGAAUAGAAUAAGUGAAAUUAUUUAAUUUUUUUAACAGAGGAGAUUAAAUUAGAAUUUUAAAAUUAAGUUCUAAAUUAAAAUUUACAUUUCAAAAUUUAAUCUGCAAUAUUUGAUGGGCUUAAGUAUUAAAGACAUCUAAUUUUUAUAACUAUUUCUAAUUAAUGUAACUUAUAACUUUAGAUAUAUUUUUAAUAUUUUCCAACAACUUAAUGUAAAAGUAAUAUAAAUUUAUAACUUAAAAUUUUUUAAUGCAUAAAUAUUUAAAAUUUUCCAAAUAAAUUAUAGCUUGCUUGGGUUAGUAUAUAAACACAAAAGAAUAAAAUUAAAAAUUGAAAUGGUGUGCAACCAAAACCAAUGGAGGGAGCUAUUUAACAAUACAACAUAGUUGAAAGGGUUUCCAUGCAUUUUUACUUUAAACUUCAGUGGCAUAUUCAUUUUUCACCUCUCUCCAACAUUUCCUUUUUUUUUUUUAUACUCUUCCUAAGCAGGGACGGAGCUAUGUGAAGGCCCAAGGUGGCCAUGGCCCUUCUCAACUUCUCAAUAUUUGCUUAAUGGUCCUUCAUAGUUCUUUUUUUUUGGUGGGCCAUGGGUAGCUUUGACAUCCCUAGUUUUUAAUAUUUACUUAAUAGUAUGGCGCCAACAUAACUCUCUCUCUCUCUCUUCCUCCUAACUGAUAUACUCUUUUUAUGGAGGAAAAUAUAUUAAGACCAUCUUACUUAUAGAGUAUUUUGUAAUGUAUUUCUCUACUCUAAAAAUUUUAUUUAAUAAUUUUUAAAACUUUUAUUUAUCUUAGGUGAGCUCUUUUAUUUGACUAAAUCAAGGAUUGCACUAAAUUUAAUAGUUAUAUUAAUUUUAUUUAUAAAAAAACUAAAAAAUUACUGUUAGAUUUAGUAAAAUUUCUAUGUUAUUUUAAUGUGAUAAUAUAAAUAAAAUAAUUUGAAGUUAAACAUCUGAAAAUAAAAAAAUAAAGUUCAUGCUUUUUACAUUAUUUAUUUAACUAAUAAUUAUUUUAUAAAAAAUUUUCAAUUAGGAAAAAUUUUGUUUAUUAUUUAUUACUAAAUCUUCUAUUUGAAUAUAUUUUGGCCCCCCUCAAAAUUGAAUCCUAGCUUCGUCCCUGUUCGUAAGUGAUAGAUAUACUCUUAGCUUUUAAAAUAAUAAUGUAUAAUAAUAUUAUUAGUUCUUAAUAAGUAUAUUACUAAUAUUUUUUCUUAUUUCUUCACGAUAUAUGUUGGUCGCAUGGAACACAUCAGAGUGCCCACUUCAAGUAUGACGAAGCAUUUCAGAAUUUACAAUUAUUCGCUCUUUGUGAAAAUCCAAUUUCGAGAACUAAAAUUUUCGGAGUUUACAAUUAUUCGCUUAUAUCACCAACAAAUACUCAACAUUCAUUUUUGACAGGUACGUAAAAUUUUACAAUGAUAAUUUUUUUGCUGCAUUUUAAAGGAGUACUUAUUAUUUGAUAAUUCAACAAAAUAAUAUAGUAAUAAAUUAAGGAAUCUAAUUUAGUCUCUUUUUUUUGUCAUUUGAAACUUCAAUAAAAUAAUUGUCAUAUUGCUAUUUUGUUAAAAUUAAGUCAUUUUUUUAUUCUAUCCUAAAAUAAAUUACUCAAAAAUUAUAACUAAAAGUUGGUAAUAACACUCCCAUGUAUUGUACUGGUCAAUUGCUAGUAUUAAAUAUUUUAUCGAUAACAUUGAAUUGUAUCUCUAAUAAAAAAAUAACUUUGCUGGAAAAUAAUCCUUUAGCUCAUUCCUAAGUAUUUUAAAGUACAAUAAAUAUUGUCAGCUAUUUUACAGAUAAAAGAGACGAUGCGAUCAUAAAAUUAUAAAACAAGCAACUUUAUUUUUGAAUGGGAAAGGAAAAAAAAGAACUCAACUACUGGAAUUGCAAAAUAUAUUUGUAAAUAAAUAAAAGGUUAGACACAUCAAAUGUACAAGGACCAAGUAACAAAGUUGGAAUAAUGCAGGGAUUAUUUAUACAUUUUACCCAAUGCCCGGUGAUGUUGACGGGCCUGAUCUGAUCGAGCGUUGCGGCCUUUACUGUUCUCGAGCUCGCUGGAAGAAAUAGAUGGCCUCGUCGCAGUAUGCCACGCCAUCCAUUGAUACCUCGCUAUCAUAUUUUAGAGGGAAAACUUCAAAACCCCUGUAGUUUCGUCGUUUCUCAUCUUGCCCCCCUGUGAUUUAAAAUAUAUCAAAUUACUUCCAUGUGGUUUCAUUUUUUUCUUUUCGCUAGCUUUUUCGUUAAUAUUUUAUUAAAUUAUAUACAAAAAAUUUUAUAUACCUAUCUAGAUUUAUCAAAUAUUCACUUUAGUAUCCUUUAAAUUAACUUUAUUACUGAUUUAAAAAAAAAAUAAUGAAGUUGAUAAGAAAAAGAGAAAAAAGAAACCAUAGGAGGACAAAUUGAUACAUUUUAAGCCACAGGAGGGCAAAGUGAGAAACUACGAAAUCACAGAGGGGUUUUUGAAGUUUUCCCUAUUUUAGAUUUUAAAUUUUAGAUUAUAUUAUUUUUAGUUUUUAAUUAUCAAUUGUUGCAUCAUUGGUUUCCAACAUUUUCUUUUUUUUUUUUUUUGAUUUACAACUUUUUUCAAUCAAUUUUAUAAUCCCUACUCUUUAUUACAAUGGAAUUCUUGUGGCUAAAAGGCCGUUAAAAUUAAAGAAAUACUAGCUAAGGGCCGCACGAUGAAGCGGAAAGAAAAUAUUUUAGUUAUUUUUUAAAAUAUUUAUUUUUUUAGAUACGUAUAAUUUUAUAAGUAUAUAAAAAUAUAUAGCAAAAUGAGAAAUAGAAAAUAUACCCGCACAAAUCAGAUAUAAUAUUUUACACUAACUUUAUAUAAAGCAUAUUCAUUUCAAAAUUUUACAAAACUAAAUAAAAUUAAAAUUAAAUAAAGUAUUACGGAACUAAAAUAGAAAGAAAAUAGAAAAUAGCGCACUAUAAAAAAUAAAAGAUUUACAACAAUUGCCUAAAAAAUAAGCCAAUCGGAUAUAUAACUUUUUUUUACACUAUAUUUAUAAAAAUUUAUUAUAAAAGUAGAAAUUUAGUAAAUUUUAUAUCUAAAUUUUUUAUAUAUUAUAAAUUUUAUCAGGUUAGAUUUAAUUUUGUCAUAUUAAUUAUUAAAAAACAAAAUUUUGUUAAUACAAGAAUUUUUAGACGGGGUGCAAGAAAAAAAAAAGAAAAGAAAAGAAAGGAAAAGAAAAGAAAAGAAAAGGUAAUGAGAGAGAGGGGAGUGGAGAAAGUAGGUAGGCUCCACCAAUACUCCAACUCCUCUUAGGGGCCGUUUGGUUGGAUGUAGUUGUAGAAACAGUGUAGUUGGAAAUACAUGCAGUUGCAAAUGCUGCAGUUAUAACUACACCUAGUCUGUUUGGUUUUACGCAGUUGCAACUGCUGCAGUUACAUUUCUUCUGUUUGAUAAUAUGAAGCUGAUAGUUGUAUUUAUGAAUUUUGUCACCUCUUCAAAUAGAGUGGUGAGGUUACCUUCACUAAACAUAAAAUAAUUGUAUAAAUUUAUUAAUUAUUUAAAUUUACUAUUUAUAAAUAAAUAAGUAGAUAUAUAUAAUAUUUUUAUAUUUUUCAAUAAUUCUUCAACUUAUUAAUCGACACAUUUAAAAUUUUUAAUUUAUUUAAUUUUAAUAUGUAAAUCAAACUUUAAAAAUUUAAGCGAUUCUCUCAUUUUUUUUUAUCAAUUUUAAUAAUUAUAAUUAAUUAAAACUUAUUAAAUUAACAUACACGAUCACAUUCUAUAAAAAUUUAGAAAAAAAAACUAUAUUUAUAUUUUAAAUAAAAUAAAUUUAAAAAAAUUAAUUUUUUGCACAAAGCUUGUAUUGUCUAAAAAAUUUUAUUAGUAUGAGUUUAUUUAUAAGUAUUUUUAUUUACCUAUAUACAUAUAUUAUUUAUUUAUUUAGCUAUUUAUUUAUUUAUUUAUUAUUAUUAAUUUGUGGGUGAUCCUAUCCCUGACCAACUGCUGUAGUUGGAACUACGACCAAUUUGGAUGUAGUUCCAACUGCAGCAUUUGGGCCUUCUUGUGCAGUUGGAACUGCAGCAGUUGAACUCAACUGCACUAAACCAAACAAAAGAAUUGUGGCUGCACGCAUUUGCAACUGCACUGCAGUUGCAAAUGCGUACAACCAAACAGCCCCUUAAUAAUCUUCUACUAAAUGGCUUUUUAAGUAAAUUUUCAAUCCACACAAUACAGCAGUUGUGAUGCAGCUUUGAAAAGAUAACUAAAUAAGUAAACAGAAACAUCUUUCUCCUAGUAUAAAUAAGGGUUAAUUGCAUACAGCUCCCUGCAAACAGAUUAAAUUAUAAAUAUAUCCAUAUAAAAUUCAACUUUCGUAAGUUAUCCGCACAAAAUCCCUAAUAUUUUCAGAUAUUUCCCUAUGGUUUGUUACCAUUAGAGAAUCGUUAGAAAAUUAUUUAUAUUUUCAAUUUUGCCAUCACAAAUAUAUCUCUCCAAAGUUAUAAUAGCAUAAUAUAAAAGAGGUAAAAAUGUCAAAAAUUAACCAGGAUAAAAUAUUUAACCUAUGAUUAACUAAACUUUUCUAACGGAUUCUAACGACAGGAAUAUAUCUGAAAACAUUAAAACUUUUGCAGGAAUAACUUAUAAAAGUUGAACUUUAUAGGAAUAUAUAUUUGCAAUUCACUAUAUUUGCGGGGACCUAUAUGCAAUUAACCCUAUAAAUAAAUAUAUUUAUUUAGAAAUUAUUAAAAUUUUAAAAUAAAAAAUUAUAGCUAAAGAAAAAAAAUUAUCAAAUAGUCGUAUGUACAUUAUAAAGAAUAAUUAUUUUAUUAAUAUUUUUGCAACUAUGAUGCAGCUUUGAAAAGAUAACUGAAUAAGUAAACAGAAACAUCUUUUUCCUAGUAUAAAUAAAUACGUUUAUUUAGAAAUUAUUAAAAUUUUAAAAUUUUAAUAAUUAUAGCUAAAGAAAAAAAUUAUAAAUAGUCGUAUGUACAUUAUAGAAAAUUAUUAUUAUAAUAUUUUUUAAUUAUAAAAUUUAUUAAAAUUUAUUUAAGUUUAAUAGUUUUGAUAGUAUUUUAUAAAUAAAAUUUUUUAACUAAAAAUGCUAAGUUGGGGGACACCUAUAUUAAUAGUUUGUAUUUUUAUAUGCAUACUAUUAAGGACCCGCGCUUCGGCGGGUGGCAUGGAAGCACUAAACAACCGUAGUAAAUAAAAUGCAACAAUAUAUAUAUAUAUAUAUUAUAUAUAAUGUAAUUAUUAUAUUAUAUAUAUAUAUAUAUCUAUUAGUAUACUAUAUAUAUAUAUAUAAUAUAAUAUAUAAUAUCCAUAAUACUAUUUUUAAUAUUAAAGAUUAGUUCAAGUCCGAAGAUAUAACAAAACAAAUGUUGGUCAAGAAUGAUGCUCAGAGCAAAAUCUUAUUCCAAUCAGCAGUAGUCUGAGACAACUAAUCAGCAGCAAUCUGGGGGCCAAUCCAACAGGCAUAUCAUCAGCAGCAAUCUUAUUGCAAUUAGCAGCAGUCUGAGAACAGUAAGAUAAAAAUUAGAUUGCCCAAGCGAGAAUAGAAACACGGGAGAGUAAAAGUAAAUAGUUUGUCAUGCACCUAUAGCCGAUCAAUAGAGCAACAAGUUUGACAACAUCGAAAACAAAUCUGCAGUAAAAAAGUAGAGUUAGUAAAUCUCAUGAAGUUUGGUCAGGAAUAAAACAAAAAAUUUAUAAGAAUGCAAGUUUAGGAGCAAAGAACUACUCAGCUUGCCUUGCAACUGGAGGUGAAGAGUAGAGUAUCCAAUGCGAAUACUACAGAAAUAAUACGCCGGAAAUAAAUCUGCAGGGAAAAAAUUGGGGAAGUAAAUUACCGAGAGGACAAAAAGUAAACAGAUCGACUUCUCUUUAAAAUGAAAGAAGGGGAAAAAAUAAAUGGAUAUUCAUUUCGGAUCCGGAACAAAAGCUCGCCACUUAAACUAAGCUGGGAAUUAGCAAUUCUGACAGCAAACCACAUUUUGCAAUGAAAUAAAUUAAAAAUUAAGCUGUGAAUCCUUUUUUAGAUUUCGAGUUGAAGUGAUGCGGCCAAUAAACAUUAAAAAGCAUGCCGAUGAAAUAAAUUAAAAAUUUAGGAAUUUUAUUCUAAACAAAGCUUAUGGAGUCUAUGCAGACUUUUCACCAAAUAUUAAUUUGCAUGUACAAAAAGGAAUUUUCUAGCAAGAAACUAUACCUCAAUCAAGAAUAAUUGUAUGUUACUUCAUUCUAAGAAGAUAAAGAAGAUAUCCCUAAAAAUGCUAUAAAUUAGUCGACCAGCCGAUCCAUUUCCUUGAACUUCAUUUUUUCCAAAUUAUUUUUAUCUAUUCUCUGGUCAACUAUUGAUGCAAAUGGUAUGAAAAUAUGAUUUUUAAAUACAAUAAAGGUGCAACUUUGUUUGCCAAGGAAGAACCGUCAGAGCAAGGAAUAAAAAUACAAUUAAAAAAUAACAAAAAACAUAGCACCAUAGAGGACGGAAUAAUUAGUAAACUAACACAACAAUGCAUGCAAGGCUCGAGCUCUGUAUUUGCAAGAAAUGAGUAAAAUUUACCUAUCCACCAGACAGAAAUACCCAUAGACUUGAAGAAGGUAGGGGUGUAUCAAUCAGCAUGAUAAUCCAUUUAUGAGGUUACAGAUAGCAUGAGAAAAUGAAAGUAUUUUAGUUCUCAUUUCCAAGAUAUCAGGCUAAACUGAAACUUCAUAUUAUACUUAAAUUGAAACUGCAAAAAAAUAAGUGGUAGGUUUUUGUAAAUUUGACAAUCUUAAUUCGACCGAGAUAAAAGUUGUGCAUUUCGCUUUAUUGGAGGGUGAAAAUUGCAAUAAGUAUUAAUUCAGAGAUGUAGUCACGAAUAAUUUGAGACGGUCAAGGAAACUUACAAAGAGGCUGUAUGCACUUGCACAUUAGAGGAAGAAGGAACAUCCCAUAACCUCAAAUUGAUGACGGUUAGAUAUAUGCGAGGAUAAAAAGCAUAAAACUCUUCAUUGACAUUCCACAUUACUUAAAAUCUAACAUAUCAAACUUGCCAUCCCAACCAACGGCAGCAAGUAUUAUGAUCUAAACACGACCAAUUAUCUAAUCACUCAUAAAGGAAACAAAUGAAAACAUAUCAAAGCAAGAAAAUAUAAUCAUCUAAAUAGUAAAAAUUUACUCAAACUUGCAUCAAUCAUAAUCAAUCGUAAGGUCGCCGAAAAUAAAGUUAGAACCAAAACGAACAUAUCAAAGUAAGAAAAAAUAAUCAUCUAAACAGUAAAAAUUUACUCAAACUUGCAUCAAUCAUAAUCAAUCCUAAGGUCGCCAAAAAUAAAGUUAGAACCAAAACGAUAAAAGGAGAAUAACAUUCAAAAAGCGGAAUCGUAGUUAGAUAUGCUAAUUAUCAAUUCCGGAGUGGUAGAACUUUAGCCCGUGUCAGUACAGGUAGUUGUUGAGCAAGGUGAAAUCGUAGACAUUGAGCACAAUGGAGAACCCUUUCGACGACCGCGUUGAAAGGGUUCUUCCGAAGAGGAGAUCUAGGGUUUCAUUGAGCACAAUGGAAAAUCCUUUCGACGACUGCGUCGAAAGCGUCAAAAGGUUCUUCCCAAGAAGAGAUCUAGGGUUUCUCAUAACAGGGUUGGGAAGUGAAGCAUGAGAUCGGCGGUGAACGAAGCAGGAACGGAGCAAGGUCAGACAAAAGAGGAGCAAGGAGAGAGAGAACCGGGCGAGUGCAUUCACAGCUAGUAAUGAAAAGAUUGGCGGUCGGUGCGCCGCUGCGAGGACGGCCGCUAAGGAAGCAAGUACGCCCUUAGCGGCGCGUAGGAGGCGGAGGUGUACGGGAGAGGAGAGGUGCUCAGCGGCGCGUAGGGGGCGUAGGCGUCCGGAAGAGGUGGGCCCACCUCCGAAAUUAAGGAGAAGAGAGUAAGGGAGAGUAGGGUGCGGAGAAGAAUAGGGCCCAACAUCUCAGAGAGAGAAAAGGAGAGAGGGUAAGAGAGAGUAGGGUGCGGGAGGUCCGAAAUCACGGAGAACGCAGGAAAGGGGUUAAGGGAGAGACCCGAAAUCACGGAGAACGCAGCAAAGGGGUUAAGGGUUCACCCUUUAAUGAUAUUGGAUAGAAUUGGAUAGAUAAGGCCCCAAUCCCAACACCCACGCUCCUCCCCCACCAUGACCGCCAUGUGGCAUUUUUUUUUAGGAAAAACUUCAAAAACCUCCCUGUGGUUUCACACUUUUUCAUUUUAGUACUCUGUGGUUUAAAGUGUAUCAAAUUAGUAUUAUAUGGUUUUAUUUUUGUAUCAAGUUAGUACCCUGUGGUUUUAUUUUUGUAUCAAGUUAGUACAUUGUGGUUUUUAAACCACAGGGUACUAAAGUGAUAACGUGCGAAACCACAGGGUACUAAAGUGAUAAAGUGCGAAACCACAUGGUACUAACUUGAUACACUUUAAACCACAGGGUACUAAAGUGAAAAAGUGCAAAACCACAUGGUACACACUUUAAACCGCAUGAUACUAAAGUGAGAAAAAGUGAACCCACAAGGGGGUUAUUUGAAGUUUUCCCUUUUUUUAAUAUGACAGGAUCUCAUAUGAUUUUGUACUUUCUCACUUUAGUACCUUGUGGUUUAAAGUGUAUCAAUUUAGUACUUUGUGGUUUUAUUUUUUUUAAUUAUUCAUUCCAUUAACUUUUUUGUUAAAUGAGCGACAAAGUUAAAAUUAAAUGGUACUAAAGUGAAUAUUCGAUAAACCUAAGUGGAGUAUUUGAAGUUUUUUGUAUAUAAUUUAACGAAAUAUUAAUGAAGGAGCUAACAAAAAGAGAAAAUGAAACCAUAGGAUACUAACUUGAUACACUUUAAAACACAGGGUACUAAAGUGAGAAAGUGCGAAACCACAUGAGUGGUAUUUGAAGUUUGCCCUUUUUAAUAAAUUAUAGAUUAUAUAUGAGUAUAUCUUAUAUACUCAGUGUACAACUUUUUUUACACCAUAUAAAAUAUUAAUUUUGUUAUAUCGACUAUUAAAAAAUAGGGUUGGUCCAGGCCGUGCUGGGCCUGGCCGAUCGCUAAAAGGUUUUAUUUUUUAUUUUUUAAAAAAUAUAUAUAAUUUAAAAUAUAAACAAAAAAUUAUUUUUAUUUAAAAAUUUUUAAUUUUUAAUUUUUUUGAAAUAAAAUUGAAGUGUUUUUGAUCCAAUGGACCAAAAACCUCCUCCCAAGGGAUGCUGUGGCAGACCUUGGGAGGAGAUCUCCUGCGGCCCUUUUCCCAAGACGAUUCGGGUCUGUGAGGACUGAGAAUUUUGUUGUGUAGCUAAACUUUUUGUUGACAAUAUUUUUAUGUGUAAUUUAAUUACAUAAGCACUCGUCAAGUUUCAGGAAAAAACGAGGUAGAAUGGAGAAGUUACGCGACCUUUACUAAUCACUUAGGGUGUGUUUGGUUCGAAGUCGGAAUCGAAGUCGGAAACGGAAUGGGAAUAAGCUGGAAUCGGAAUCGGAAUGACUCAUUACCUCAUUCUGUUUGGUUCGCCACCUAAAUCUGAAUCGAAAUGAAUCAUUCCCAUUGUUGGUGUUUGGUUCAAGUAGUUAUCAGAACGGAAUCAAAUUAAUAUACCAAUUUUACCCUUUUAAUAUAUUUUAAUUAUUUGUAACUAGUUUGAAUACUCGAUUUAAAAUAUAAAAAAAAACCAUGCUUAUAAGUUUUUUUUUUGAGAAGGACAAAAAAAAAAGCAUGACCUCAUAAUUACUAGUGUUCAUUCAUCCUUUCCUUCUUCUUACUCUUUUUUUUUUAUUUUUUUGAGAAAGUCCAAAGUCCAUGUGAUUUUUGAGAAUAAAAGAAAAAAAAAAAGAGAGUGAUUCGAGAGCAAAGUUGGCGGGGGAGGGGGGGAGGGAAUUACUUACGGGAUGAAGCUUGGGGAGCGGCGCGAGGAGAGUUGAGCGGCGCGGGAGAGGCGAGGGUUUUCUUUUUUUUUUUUUUUUUUAAAGUCUAAUGGAUGUAGGUUAUUUUAGUAAUAAAAUAAUUAAGUCGGGAUUCAAUUUUCAAUCCGGGGUACGAGGCCGGAUUCGUUUCUACCCGGAUUAGCCGAUUCCCAUUUCGGAAUGGAAACGGAAUCGGAAUGAGAUACGGCAUACCAAACAUCUAGAAUCGGAAUGGAUCAUUCCGAUUCCGAUUCCGGAGCUAAUAUUUAGCGAACCAAACACGCCCUUAAAGUGAAUAGUAACUCGGUUUUUUCUAAGAGACCAGUGAGUAGUGAUGGCUUAUGGUGCGUAUUGGACUCUGUUUAUAGUUAUCCAAUAGCUCGUUUUCAACGGUUCGACUAUCCUGGACCCAAUGGCACUGACGGAUUUGAGACGAUUUUCAAGAAAAAGAGAUUUUAUCGCAAAGAGAAUUUUGGAGAAUCGGAGAAAGGAUGGCUUUCGUCGCGAAUCGGCAACCUAAUCAAAUGAAACAAAAUUGUGGGUUUGAUGUCUCGAUCGUGCUGAACGUGCCGGCACAACCCAUUCGAAAAUCCGACGGACGGAUCUCCUAAUAUCGCAUGAGGAUCGAGGAGGGAUAAUAUAUGGCAAAACGAAAAUUUUGCGAAAAGCCCUUCAUUUUAUAUACCAAUUUGUGUGAAAUCGAAUAUAGGGGUACAUUAGCGCGUUUUACUCGCGCUGUGAAGGACUCAGAUUAAAAUAUCUAAAUUUUGGGGACUUUUGUGCAAAAUGAAAUGUUGUAUAUAUAGGCCAUAUAGGGUUUGCAUGGUGCAAACCCUAACCCUAGCCUUCUUCCUCCCUGAGCUAAGCCCCCAGUCGCCUCACCACCCGCCCCUGCCCUUAUUGCGCGCACCCCGGCUGCUGGCGCGCGCCUUCGACCACCGGAAAGCCAUAUUCUCUCUCCCUCAACCUCACAUUGCUUUUCUUGGCUCUCCAUCCCUGCCGAGCACAAGUGGAGGGUCCAUCUCCCUCCGGCCCCUCACCAGUGCCUCCUUCGGGCCUCCGGCGACCCUCCCUGUCUACUGCCGCCGCCUCCGGGCCCAGCCACCGCACUGCAGCAACCCCGCGGCCAUCGUGGGUGAGCUCGGGCCGAGGAGACAAUGCGGCUCAUUCCCCGCGCUGCUUCCACUCGGGACUGCCCCCGUGACCUCCCUCCGACCUCUUGCGGCCCGUCGCCGCCGCCCCGAGGCUCCUGGCCACCGCUGUGGCUGCUGCAACCUGCUGAACCCGAGUUCAGCCCGUGCGGGCUCGGGUUGCUCUAGCGCCGCCACAGUCGCCGCCUUCCGCCGCCGGCCAGUGUGAGCACCAUCUUACCCUGGUCGGCUGCACUUGGUUGCCGCCGAUGGCCUUGCCAUGAGAGCCCCCUGCCGGCCGGAUUAGAGCCGAGCUCUUCGUCAUUCCGUGUGGCUAGGGUAUCAGUGCCUGCCGCCGCCGCCUUCCGUCGCCAGCCGACACGCGCCCGGACUUCCCUCUGCCUGAUGCACCCGCCUACCGCCAGCUUGCCCCCUGCUGUGCCGCCGCCGCUGUGCCCUGGCUCCUUUGCCCGGUAAGCUUUUAUUAAGCUGUUUGUGCACUAUUUUGGUUUGCAAUCGCUGUUCCGACGACUUGGGGCUAUUCCAAUGCCUCCAUAGGUGAGCACGGUGAUCGUCGGUCAGUGCUGAUCACAGUGCUCACCUCAUUUUGGGUCAACGAGCCCCGAAUUGGUGAAUUAGAUGCGUUUUAGUUUCAGCGCGCAGGGUUCGUAGAUUUUCGAGUUGCUUCUGUGCUCUCCACAGUGGACGGUUGUGCUCCGGAUUGUGAACACGGCCUCCGGCACGUCGAGACCUGUUAGUACAUGUCUCGGUCGACCUCGAAAGCCCUCGGUUUGCUGUAACGACCCAUAAAAUCUGGUAAAUCACAUAAAAUAAUGUGAUUUUAGGGAAUAGUAAGGGCUUUUGUGCACUGUGGGCAGUACGUGUGGGCUGCGAGUGACCUCUGGACUGAUUGUCCAAGGUUUGAUGCCCUUCGCGGAAAUCGAGUAUCGAUUUCCAGUGCGUUUUUUGGCGAAAUUCGCCAACAGAACGCGGUUCGAUUCAGAUUUCUUCCGACAAUGCUAAAGUUAAGAUUUUGAAUUGGAAUUCAAAUAUUUGAUUUUGACUUUGAGAUUGAAUUUGAAUGCAUAACUCAAAUUUUGACAUAUAAUAUAUGUCGAUAUUUGAAAUAUUCGACUCUAAAUUCAAAUUUGAACUCAAAAUCUAAAUUCAAUUUAAAUUUAAAUUUGAAGUCUAAAUUUGAAUUUCUAAUUUGAAUUCAAUUUCUAAAAUACAUUCCAAAAUUUGAAUUCAAAAUCAAAAUUAGAAUUAGAAUUUGAAAGUUUGAAUUCUUAAUAUGAAUAUGAAAUUGGAAUUUAAAAUCUGGAGUUGAAUGUAAAAUUAAGUACAAAAUUUGAAUUGGAAUUCAAAAGUAAAUUAUAAUUUGAAAUUUGAAUCUAAAAUCAAAACUAAAAUUUUAAAUUCCAAUCGAAAAUCAAAUUUAAAUUUGAAAUUUAAAUUUAAAAUUUUAAUGUAAAUCUAAAGUUCAAAUCCAAGAUCUAAAUUUAUCUAUACAACUAUAUAAAUUAGUUAUCGAGUAGAUAUUUUUAAGUGUAUAAUAAUAUAAUUACUACCGACCAUCCCUAGCGCAAGUGACAAAGGACUUAGUAAUUGGUAUCCGAGAUCCCAAGUUUGAAUCUUAGUUGAUUCAUAUUUUCAGCUAAGUUUAUUUUUUAAAAAAUAAACGAAACGGAUAAUAUGCAACCUUUCUCACAAUAUAUAUAUAUAUAUAUAUAUAUAUAUAUAUAUAUAUAUAUAUAUAUAUAUGUAUACCAACAUGUGUCUAGUUCUUGUACUUUGGUAGCAUUUUAUCUCAAGUAAACUAUGUUUCGUACAUGACAUUUUUGUCAAUUAUGCUACUUUGUUNAUAUAUAUAUAUAUCGGGCGGAAAUGAUCAAAAGGUAGAUCUAACGGUAGAAAACUCAAUAGUACCAAUGGCUUGGUACUAUUGAUAGUAUAGUAGCCGGACUAUAUAUAUAUAUAUAGUGAGAAAGAGUUAGGCUGGAAUACUCUUAAGAGUAUCCAGCCCAUUUUGCUAUAGGGUUUCCAGCCAUUGGAUCCUAUUAAGAUUCGUGCAGAGAAAAGGGUGAAACGGACAGAGAACGGCGCCGUUACUGUGAAGUGAGAAAGGAAAAGGUUACUUUCCCUUCUCUGUCGGUCUCUCUCUCUCUUUCUCUCUUUCUCUCUCUCUCUUUCUUUCUCUCAUCUUCAUUCUCUCCUUCCCCUGUUCUCUGUUACUCUCUCAUCCCCACUCUCUUCGUCUCGAUCUCACCUCUUCUCGAUCUCACUUCGAUCUCACUCGGGGAGCGGUCGCACCGUAGCACCCAGCAGCCAAGCUUUUGGAGGAAGCUGCCUGCACCUUCGCAAUUUUUGGAGCAGGCCGAACCCACGCGUAAUUCCUCUCGAUCUCACCUCUUCUUUUUUUUUUCUUUUUUUUUUUGCAAAAAAAUAGGGAUUAGUUAUUUUAUGGGUUCUUGUAAUUAUAUGAUGUUUAGUUUUUUUUCUUGCAAAACUUUGAAGCCUUCAUAUAUUUUUAUCACUAGUUUCGUUUUCCGACUUCAGUCAUGCUUACUACUCUGCUACAUUCUAGUAAGGUUCAAAUGUUCUUAUACAUAAAAAUAGAUGUGUGGGAACUCUUUAUCUAAAGCACAGUAACCUCAUGUAUUACCCACCACAAGGCACAAGUAUUGCCUCAGAGUAUUGCAAAAAAAUAGAGAUUAGUAAUCUUAUGGGUUCUUGCAAUUAUACGAUGUUUGGUUUUUUUUCUUGCAAAGAAAUAGAGAAGUUUGUUAUAUUUAUGGGAUUUCUUUUUUCCACCCAAAAAAGAGAUUUGUGGGUUCUUAUUAAAAUUUUUCUUUUAUUAAUGUCAGUUUUUAUAAUGUUAUGUCAAUUUUUAUAAUGUCAGUUUUAUUUUUGAUGAGCUCUAUAAUGAGAUUUCACUUGUUAUAUUUUACCUUACUAAAAUUAUUAUGUAGUCAUUUAAAAAAUUUUACUUUUUAUAAAAUUAACAUAUGGAUAGUGGGGAUGUUUACUAUUCACAUGGCUCAGAUGAUUUUGAUGAUGUAUCUUCAAAUAGGCAAGAAACCGAAUCUCCAUUUGGUGGUAUGAGUUAUUCUCAAAAUAGAGAGGAUGUUGGAACUUUUCAAGUUGAUUCACAAAACAGAGAAUUAACUCCUUUAAUCCAGCAAGAUCAAGACACCCCAAAUAUAAUUGUUCAUGCUGCAGAAUCAUCAAUUAAUGAGCCACGCAUUGGAUUGGAGUUUAAAUGUGAGGAGAAAGCACGGAGAUUUUAUAAUAUCUAUGCAUAUAAAACUGGAUUUAGCAUACGGAAAGCUAGUCAUUACAAAGCAAAAAGGAAAAAUAAUAUGGUUACAUCGCAUUACUAUGUUUGCUCAAAAGAAGGACAUUACAAAUGUCACGCCCCGGGACCCAGCGGAAGCCCGCCCGGCGCGUGCCCAGACCCGCCAUAUGUCUACAACAUAUAAGGCGUCUAAAAACAACAAUAAUAAAGCCAUAAUAAAAGACAUCUAGGUGUAUCAGAGCGUAAUAAAUGUCUAAAUGCUACAACAAGAAAUAAGGAUGAAACUGUAAAUUCACUAAAUAAGACAUAAAGUAAAUACAAUAGGAAAUCCCAAAUACAAGUACUAAAAGUAGGUACAUAGGUGGUCUCUACACAUGGAUACAAAAUCUCUCACUCUCCCAACUACAAAAGAAAGAGCAAACCACCUAGGCAAAGAACCGCUCCUCGCUAGCUAGCUAAGCGAUCCCCUUGCCGCGAUCCCGUGCCUCCGCCGGUGCCGAAGGCUCUGAAAAGUAAACCAUAAAACAGGGGCGUGAGAACUAUUAAAAAUAGUUCCCAGUGGGCAAUUACUGACUUCAGUGAAUGCACCACAAGGCCCAAAGCUACAAAAAGAGGUCAGUGACUAACAAUGUAGUAAAGCGACAGGUAAGUAAAAUGUAACUCACUAUAACAUAGAAUUUCUACUUAGUAUAAUUUGCACAAGUAAUGAAGCAACGAUAUCAUGAAUGUACAUGGAUGUGUAUGACAUGCAUCAGCAUAGAAAUGCAACCAAUCCGAUGUCCUCAAUGCAAAAAUAGUAAAGAUGUCAUUGUUUACUAUUCUAGUCCAAGUCCACUUUAAUAGUUUUAAAGUUCACAUAGCAUGUUCUGUCACUAAGUCCCAAUCAUAUAAGACCCACCCGAAGGCUGUCUGGCCUGCGCCGUGCCUAAUGGCCCCGUGGUAGUCAACAUCCCCACUCUAGGGAUGAGCCUCCCCCACGGCGAUCCACUUCGGCGCCCAAUCCCGCACGGCGAGCAUGUGUCGCGAUGGCUAUCUCCGGAGUGCCGGCUUGUAGGGAGCGACCCUCACAAGCAUGUGCGAAUGAGCACAAAUGGCAAGCAAGCAAUGAUCUGUCUCAAGUACCAAGUCCUCAUGUCUAAAACAUGGAAUAUGUCAAGUACCACGAUGGCCUAUCUCUAUGUCGUCAUGUCUCUAACAUGGAAUAUAGCAGAUACGUAAUGGCCUAUCAAUAUGUCUCUAUGUUGCAGUUUAAAUGUUUACUAGUUCCAAGUGCCUCUUGAUGACCCUUUUUGCUACUAAGUUCAAACAUAGUAUAAUGUUUCCCAUACAUGAACAUAAGCUAAAUUAGCAUACUAGACGAGAAUCCCAUUCGUCCACAUGAACCCACCCCACAUGCAUGACAAUAACCUUGAUUACUCUACCAUCUAGAGUGAAAUUUAACUUACACAUAGGGCAUGCAUUUUAGGGGUUCUAAAUUUCACAUAAAUUCCAAUUAGCAUAGGAAAGCAUUUAAAAAUAAGUUACGAAUAGUUUAGAAUGCACAGGGGCCAUUUCGCCCCAUUUCCAUGAAGUCAAACCCACCGAUGACGACGAAACUCCUCGUUCGCUCCAACGAGGGUGUCCCCUAGUCUCCUAGUAUCCUAGAGGUAUAGAAACAUGUGUCAAACAAGGCUCACGAACAAAGCUAAGCUCAAACAUUAAGCUUCUCUAGCUAGGUUGGAGAAAACUCACCGAAAGCUAAAGAAUCUCUCUCGAUCUCAAAAAGGGAGUUAGAUUCCUUCAAAUCCAACCUAAAUCAAAGUUCUAAACCAAUCAAUUUGGUUCUAGAAGCUACAAAUCAAAAAUCCCCAUUUUUAGCCCUAAAACUCAAAAUCUAGGGUUUCAUCUAGUAGAAGAUAUUAAAACUUGAUCCAAAAGGGAGAUUUAGCUUACUAACCUCACAAGAUGCCCAAAACCAAGCUCCAAGCCAAGUGGAGUUGAAGUUUGAUCCUCCAACAAGCUCCAACCAAGAUCUCAACCUUCUCCAAUGGUGGAAAUCCUAAAAAAAAGCAAGAAGGAGAAAAAAAGAGAGAUCAAAACCACUAAAAACCCACCAAAAAAGGAGAUCAAACCAAGAGGGGAAGACUCACCUUGCUCUCCUCUGGUUAGGGCUCAAAAAGAGCAGCAAAGGGGCUGGGGUAACUUAUAAAGAGUAUUGCAACAAUUGCAAAAAGACCCCUCCACGAAAUCUGCCCAGAGGCAUUGUGUACCGGUACACGGGAAAGUGUACCGGUACACUUCCUGCGAAACAGCCCAACCCGAGCCUCGGUUUGACAGAAAAUCUAUUGUGUACCGGUACAACCAUCAAGGCGUACCGGUACAAAUUCUGUACCGGUACGACCAUCAAGGCUGUACCGGUACAAAUUCUGUACCGGUACGACUAUCAAGGCUGUACCAGUACACAGCCUGGCUGAGGCUAAUCCGAGAGUACUCCAACAAUCCACCCUUUUGGGAUUUUGGUACGGGUUUAAACCCUCGAUUCUCGGGGUGCGAGCCAUAGGUCGGAACACUGUCUACGACCCUUCAGAAAGUCUGGAAUAGCUCGGCACACAGAUCAAACACUCGAACCUCGCGAUUUGCAUAGGUCCAGUGUGUUACAUUCACCCCUCCUAAAAAGGAGUUUCGUCCGCGAAACUCGAAAGUCAAAGCAUACCUCAUGGCUCCAUCUGAAAAAGAUGGGGAUAGCGCUCCUGCAGCGCACUCUCUAGCUCCCACGUGGCCUCCUGCUCCCCGUGGUUGCUCCAAAGGACCUUCACAUACGGAAUAUCCCGAUUCCGCAGCUUCUUUACUUCGCGAGCCAAAAUCUUCAUUGGUUCCUCCUCGAAGCUCAAAUCCUCGCGCAGUUCCACUGGUACGGCUUCCAAAACAUGAGCUGGAUCAUGAAUGUACCUCCGAAGGACCGAUACGUGAAAGGCGUUGUGCACGCCCGAUAGGUUCGGUGGUAAAGCAAGUCGAUACGCUACCGGACCUACACGCUCCAAGAUCUCAUACGGUCCAAUGAAACGGGAGCUCAACUUUCCCCGAAUCCCGAAUCUCUUGAUUCCUCUAGUUGGCGAGACCUUUAAGAAAACAUGGUCUCCAACUUGGAACUCCAAGUCUCGCCGUCGUCGAUCGGCGUAGCUCCUCUGUCUACUCUGCGCCGCCAAAAGUAGCUCUCGAGCAAUUCGAACCUUGUCCUCAGCUUCCUGGAGCACAUCAGGGCCUAAAGCCAAUCUCUCACCGACUUCACUCCAAUGAAGUGGCGAUCUACACUUCCGUCCAUAAAGUGCUUCGAAGGGCGCCAUCUUGAUGCUUGCUUGAUAACUGUUGUUAUAAGCAAACUCCGCCAUAGGUAGAUACUGCGACCAUCCUCCCUGGAAGUCUAUCACACAUGCCCGGAGCAUAUCCUCUAAGGUCUGUAUAGUGCGCUCCGACCGUCCAUCGCUCUGCGGGUGGAAUGCUGUACUGAAAUCCAAUCGGGUGCCUAAGGCGUCCUGUAGACUCCUCCAAAAGUAAGACACAAACCGAGUGUCCCGAUCAGAUACAAUCGAUGUAGGCACUCCAUGAAGCCACACAAUCUCAUCAAGGUACACUUGUGCGAGCUUCUCUCCGGUCCAAGUCGUAUGAAUAGGUAUGAAGUGCGCCGACUUCGUCAACCUAUCCACGAUCACCCAAAUAACAUCGUGCCCUGCUUGAGAGCGAGGCAACCCUGUCACAAAGUCCAUGGUGAUCUUCUCCCACUUCCACACUGGAAUAGGCAAACUCUGAAGCUUCCCCGCGGGAACUCGGUACUCUGCCUUCACUUGUUGGCAAGUUAAGCAUUUAGCGACGAACUCGCCAACAUCCUUUUUCAUCCCAGGCCACCAAUAGAGCAACUUUAAGUCCUUAUACAUCUUGGUGCCACCCGGAUGUAUAGCAUAGGGCGCCCGGUGCGCUUCUUGAAGAAUAUCCUCUUUAAUUCUUGAGUCCGCCGGAACACAUAGCCGUCCACGGAAUCGCAUCAAUCCCUGAUCAUCCAAAAGGAAGUCGCCGAUGCAACCCUCAACCAUUUUACCUCGAAUCUUUUGCAACUCCACAUCGGAAGCUUGCUUUUCUUUAAUUCUAUCCAAAAGGGUAGGUUGCACUACCAUAGUCAUCAACCUCAAGGGUGUGUCGGGGGUGACUACCUCCAACUCCAACCGCUUCAUCUGCUCGAUCAACUGCGGUUGAGUCACAACAUGCAUCGCCAAGUUUUCCAUCGUUUUCCUACUUAGCGCAUCCGCUACCACGUUAGCCUUACCCGGGUGGUAAAGAAUCGUCAGAUCAUAAUCCUUGAGCAGCUCCAACCAUCUGCGCUGUCUCAGGUUCAACUCCUUCUGAGUAAACAGGUAUUUNNNNNNNNNNNNNNNNNNNNNNNNNNNNNNNNNNNNNNNNNNNNNNNNNNNNNNNNNNNNNNNNNNNNNNNNNNNNNNNNNNNNNNNNNNNNNNNNNNNNUGUCGGGAUCCAUGCCGCCUCAACUGCCGGAAUCGCCUGCCACGUGCCGAACCUACACAAACCUCAUCACGGGUGCACUGCAAGCCUCACAAACGCCAAGCCCUCGCCUACCCGGCAAGGUGUGCUACGAGCACAAGGGAUACCCCGGGAGGCCGCAAGCCUAUCCGAUCCAAAGGCAGGAGACACAAGCUUGAGUAACAUAUAUUUACUUUCCCUGCGCCUCCUAGUUUUGUUUUAUUCCAGUUGCAUAGGGUUGCAAUAACUUAGACUCUAUCCUCUGCAUAAUUAGUCUUUACAUUCACAAACGAUUUCUUACCUAUUGGGUCGUAUUAAUUAAUUUAGUAAAAGUGAGGCCUCUUGGCUCAUGCCAUAAUGAUUAAAUUGAGAUGACGUAGUGGAUUGCGGAAGCGUUAAACAUCAUUGGUGGUGACUUGAAACAUGAGUUUAUGUAUAAAGAUUAAGAAACAGGAGAAAAAAGAUCUAAUGAAAGUGAAAUAUGAAGCUUUUUUAUCAAAAAUUUCUUGUAUGUAUCCCUAUAAAUAUCAUUCGCACCUAAGAAAUAUUCUUGGUUGGUACUUUUACUAAAACAAGAUAUCUCUAGCAUUUCUUUUUUAUUUAGUAUUAUUUCUAAAAUCGUAGAUUUGCCCUUAAGUUUUUUGUCUAAUAUAUGCUGAGCUAGUUCAUCACUUUAGUGUUAUUUAGUUCUAUAUAAGCUUCUAUUCUGUCAAUUUACUAUUUACAAGUAGUAUUAGAACGCUGAAUAAUAGUUUAAAUUUUAGGAAUACAAUCAUUCCUAAUCAACACUAUUAGCCAUUGUAUUGGUCAACAAGCUCAUUGGUAAAGUUACCAAAGUGAAAUGAAUAGAAUUUUCUUGAAAUUUUACAGUACGGAGAGCAACAUCCUUCUUGGUUGAAAACUUCUUAUUUGGCAUAUUUUUCUGAUUUUUCUUCAAUUCUACAUAUUUGUUUACCCUCUUUUGACAUAGGAAGUCAUAACAUUUCUUAUUUUUUAAUUUGCAAAUAAACUAUUGAUCUUUCUAUCAAUUCUUUUCUUUAUUAAUUGGUUAUAGAUGAAGUCCAUUUCAUAAUUGUUCGAUAUCAUCAUUUUAUGAUUAUGGUUUUCUAACUGAUUUGUUAUUUUUUUAAAUAUAAUUUGCAAUAGUUUGGCGAAGUAAGUUGUUAAUUUUAAAAUUGCUAUGUGUUUCGAAUAGUAAGCAGCUAUUAGUGUCUAUUCUAUCUAAAUAGUCUAUUAUUUUUAUGGAUUUUUGAGUUGGGGCUCAAUUUCUAAUGCUAAUUGUUUCUUUUCUACCCUAAUCCUUAUAGUUGAGCGCUGAAGUUUUGUCCUUAUUUAUCUCUUUUAAAACAUAUUGUAUUUGUCAUAAACAAAACACUAAACACCCAAAAAAAUCUUACAGAUUGUGAAUAUAAUGGACAAAAAGUUGGUAAAAAGUCCAGACUAUGAUAUUGCUUACAUUGAUGGAUUGUCUAGAAAUUUAUUAAAUUUGCCUAUGGAGAAUCAUCCAUAAAUGGCAAGUUCUAUGCCCAUGAUCGAUAAGUGUUACACAAAUUCUUCUUUAUACACAAGUUGUUGAAGAACAUUUAGUGAUUGGAAUCGGGUUUUUUAUUAGGUUAAUGUUUGGGUAUUUCAUGGAGAGUCAUUUGUCACAUCCCAAAUGAAAUCGAAUUUACUCAUUUGCUGCCAACGAUCUCGUAAUGCACAAGAAAGAUUAGUUCCAAGACAAGAUGGUCUAGAGGGAUUGCUGCAAUUGUUUUUGGAAUUAUUGGGCACCUAAUUUGAAAAUAAUGACAAGUAAUGAUGAGACUAUUUUUAAUUUAGUUUAGAAGAAUGUAAUUGACGCAGGCGUAUCUAUGGAUUCUCGGCGAGCAAAAUUUUAUGAACGGUCGAUGCAUUAUACACCUAAGGAACAAUCGAUAUAGUAACUUGUCCGUGAAAGAUUGUGAUAAAGACAAAGGAAAUUAUAUCCAGGUUGUAAAACUUCAAGAUAUCGUUCAUUCUUCACUUAUUCACCUACAAAUGCUUAAACGGGUGGUCCGGAAAAUCCUUUACAAUGAUUGCCUCCAAUUAUUAAAAAUUCAUUUCCUGAGGCAACUCUUUGCCAUCCCCCCAUCUUAUUAUGAAGCUAAAAGCGAUAAAAGAAUUGGGUCUUUGGAUAUGAGAGAUUCAUAUUUGCGACCUAAUGAUUGUAUGUUAUAUUGGGGUGAGACGAAUAAUCAGAGUAUUGUAAUGAGUGUGGAUCUUCACGGUGGACAAGUGAAUAAAGAUGAUACUUGGUUGUUCUUGAUGAUUUGAAAGGAGAAAAAGCCGCGUCAAUGAUAUUACGCUAUUUUCCUUUGAUGACACAAGAUUAAAAGAAUUUAUAUGUCUCUAAAAUUGUUUCGUUAAUGAGAUGCAUGUGGAAGUCGCAUUCAAAGAUGGAAUCUUGAGACCACCAGACGAUGGCCCUUGCAUGGAAAAUCGUUUGAUGAUCUUAUCAUGAUUUUUUCUUCCGAUCCUGUAAGUGUAUAGACUUUGGUCCUUGCUAUCGGACGGAUUCAAUUCUUUUCGAACAAUCAGUAUACUUAUGCACUUGGCGGUGACUAUUCAUUCCUUAUUAAUUUACCUCAGGGAUUAAUUGCAUGAAAAUCGUCUUCAUUUUAUCACAAUGGUCAUUACGGCUGAAAAAGGUCCAGCGGUAAUGAUAUUGAAUAAUUAUUUGCACCUUUCAAUAGCGGCAGUUAAAACACUUUGGUAUGGUGUGAUGGCUUUGAUGCUUCUAUAAGCAAAAUUUGUUCACUGAAAUGAGGGUCUCUUUAUGAUGGACAUUAAUUGAUUUUCCCUGCCUAUGCUAAUUCUAUCUGGUUGGAGCACAAAGGGACGUGUUUUAGCCCUUGUGUGGGUUUUCAACGAUAAUCACGUUGGUUGAACAAUAGUAAGAAUUCUGUAUAUAUGGGCCAUCUGAUCGGAUGGUUGAACCAAAUCAUCCUUUCGAUAUCACAAAAUUAUUUGAUGGCACUCAUAGAGUGCGUUCCGCUCCAAUAUCACAUCUGACAUUGAAUGUCCUAACCGGCACACUACAGGGCAUAACCUUCAUAAAUUAUGGCAAAGGCCUUCAAAAUAACUCAAAAAAGGAUAAGAGGGAAACGUUGAUAGUUCUUUAUGCAAAUCAAGCAUUGAUGACGUUGCACUACAAAUCAAGUAGAGUGUUAGAGAUACCGAAUGAGUUCAUGGACAGAUGAGCCAUGGAUUUCAUGAAGUUGGUCAGAUUGAUUAGUGAUAACAUUAGAUGCAUCACACAAAUGAUGUAGGUGGAAAAAUUGUGGUAAGGAAAAAAGCAUCUUUUUGAACUGCAUAUUGGAAGUACAAUCCUAUUCGACAUAAUUUAGAUGUUAUGCAUAUACAGAAGAAUGUAUUGCGAAUAAACUUUAAUUGGAACCUUUCAUUUUUUGAAUAAUGCAAUGGUAGGAACUAAGACAAUUUGAUAUAUGCACGCGAUUGGCACCUAAUAGAUAUGGGCAUACGACAUGAUCUACAUCCCAAGUUGCAAUCGCAACAACAAAACUAUAAUACCUCAUGCAAUUACACUAAUGUCACACAAGACAAAGGUAAACUUUCUGACGGUUUGAAAAAUAUUAAAGUUCGGAUGGAAUAUGCAUCGACAUACGCAAGAUGUGUGAAAUCAUAAAGAACGAACACUUUCAACCAUCAAGAGUCAAUGAUGGGCACAUAUUUUAUGCAGGCUAUUCUUACCAUAAUAGCAUUUGAGCAGCAUCUAUGCCAAAACAGAUUAUCACAAUUGUUUCGGGAACUAUCAUUAAUAUUUUCAAAUCAAUAUGCUUUUCCAGCAAUCUCUUGAUCCAAAAGUCCUUGAUCAGUGGAACUCAAGUGCUUGCAAUUAACACUAUCCACAUAGAGAACAAUAUUCCUCCCAGUUUUUUUCACUUGUCAAUGUUUACUCAUUAUUCACUUAAGAUCGCAGAGGCCAAGGUUACGGUGCGUCCUGUUACUUACAGAUGGAUAGUAUCAUUGAAAGGUGAGAGAUUUAAAUCUAAGUUCAACUAAUGUAUCAUUAAUUUUCUUAUUUGACCAAUCUAAUUUUUACUAGAAUAGCAAAUUACACAACAUAUUUAUUAUAUAAUACUAUUAUCAUCUGCUUAGUUACUUUGGUACGGUUAAAAUAACAUUACGGUACGCAACAAGAGUAACCCAGAAGGCUCAGAAUUGCUGAAGGAUACAUUGCGAGAAUGUUUAAACAUUUUGUUCAGAAUAUUUGGAAGGUGGUGGAAACAAAUAUUCAAUCGAAACCAGAAAGAACUAUGAUGAAUAAUAAAUAUGCGAAACCGCUUACAAUGUUCUUAUCUGGUGGGCGACGUAAUAGGAAAUAUCGAAAGUAUUGUAGCUUGACGAAAUCUCAAUAUAAGUUAGCAAGACACAUCGCAUAUGUUACUUACAAUUCAUCUAAUACAAAAUUACUCAUAUCCGUUAGGUGAAUACCAAUUUUUUUUACUAUAUUUAUCAUAAUAUUCUUUUUUAGUAUUUAACAAAUAUGAAGUUAACUAAAUAGAAUUAAGCCAUGAAACACAAUCAAAUAAGAGAAAUUAUUAUGGCAAUGAACUAACGGAGAGCUAAAUUCAGGGCGAUUCGAGCUAAUCAAAGAUAUUGAGCAAAAAUGGCUGGUAGACAAAUUUUCUGGAACUGGUUUUUAAGACAUGGUAAAAAAUGCAUUAUUGAGAACAUCGGUGUAUACCUUUUACUGUAAAAUAUAUUACUUAACAUGUUUUAUCAUAGGUACCAAAACUACAUGAGCAGCGAUUGUUCAGAAGAAAUCAUUUGCAAAUGGCGCGCAGAGGUCCAAUAUAAAUUUAUUACAAAAGAUUUAGUGGCUUUUAUCAUAAAUGGGAUUCCGGUUUCCACACAAAGGAUCGUGAAAAGUUUCGAAGACUCAAAAAUAGUGAGUUAUGGUGGAAGCAGAGGGGCAAAUUAUUAUGGUGCACUCACUGCAUAUUUUUUGAGCUAGAUUAUUUGGAAAGUAAAGUUGUCUUAUAUUCGUUGUGAUGGGUGGAUGUUAGGUCACCAAGCGGGUUUAAAGCAAAGACUACGAUGCGAUCAAUUCUUGUUAACUUUUCCAAGUUGAUACAUACUGGGCCAAUUUUUGAAAGAUGAUCCUGAAUUCAGAUUCUCAUCUCAAAGCAAAACAAGUAUUUUAUGUGCAAGAUCCAUAAAUGAACACUGGAAUCAUGUUAUCAUGACGAAACCAAGAGACUUGUAUGAUAUUAGGGUGGAGAUGCCAAGAGAGGAUGACCGGACUUAUACCCAAUGCUGCCUUCCUGAUGUUAUGGGUGUUGAUGAAUUAAAUGAUUGUACAAGUUGGGUCAGAAUAAUGGAUGUGAAGAGGAGCACUAAUGCUUAAUUUAUUAUAGUAAGUGAUAAUGAAAUACUGUGGUCUUUAUCUCUAAUUAAAGUAACAUGACUUAUGCACAUGCUAUUUUUUAGUUGAAAUGAUUCUGACUUUUGAUGUCAAUAUUAAAUUAUUAUUUAGAUAAUAUGAAAACUAAAAUUUUGUGACGGAAGUUGAUUUUUCUUUGUAUUCUUUUAUUUUACUCUCAGUUUGUAUUGAAACUUGAUAUUUGAUAACAUUUCUAUUUUUUCUUACUGUUCUUCUUGGCUUUUUUGAAUAUAUAGUAUGUUUUUAUCUUUUUCAAUCAGUGUCCACCAUAUGCCACAACCUGCUGAAAAUAGUGAUUUGGAAAGGACCAAAUUUUCUGGUUACGUAAUAAUUUAUCUUGUAUAUGAUUCCAACUCAACUAUAGUUCCAAUGCUUUUAGUAGUAUAUCAUAACUAAAAAUGUAUUAUUUUAUAAAUUAUUUAUCUUAUAUUGUAGCAGAAAUUAUAUGAAUCAGCUUUUUGAAGCAUCUCUGAUGGUAAGCCAAUAUGUAUUUGGACACAACUUUCAAGCAAAAUUUUGAAUAUAUUUUGCUUUUUUACGUAUGUUAAUCUUCUUUACAUUUAUGUAAUUAUUUUAAUUGACACAUUGAUUAAUCAUUAAUUAUCUGUGUCUGAGGUAUUAAUUAUGGCUAAUCAAAGAUGGUGAGAGAAUGUUGAGAUACAAAAUUAAAUGAAAGUUUCAAUUUGAAUUAGUAAUGACCUAUCAACUAGCGUCACAAAACACAGCAUACCUCAGACAUGAUGCAAGAUGCAAGCUCAAAUAGUGAUUCCUGAUUCUGCCUCUUGAAAAUGAGCUCAAGUCCAAGAACAAGCAGAUCAUGAAUAUAAUUGACACGUCUUAGAGUAGAGGUAACUUUCAUUUAUUGUAUUUGAAAAACUUUGUUUAUCUUUUGAUUAUGUCUAUUCUUAUGUAUUUCGUUAUAUUUCUAUAUAGAUGACAAGGACACACAAUAAAAAAACGAGGAAUGACACUCGUGCGAAGGACGUAUGGACUUGCUAAUGGGCACAAAAUUAUAAUUAAUGCUAACAAUUUGACAGCAGUAAAGAAAGGGGGAUUGGCAUCCUUGGAGUUGCUUGGGACUCUUUUCACGAAAGAGAAGUUUCUGUGCUCAUGCCAUAACACAGUUGGGAAGAAAGUGCGCUAACCAGUGAAAACAGAACUAUAUUCAAUUAAAACCUCGGGUAUAAACAUUUGUACUUAUCUUUUAGUAGGCACAAAAAUAACUGUAAUUAUCAAUAAUUGUUUGUUGGUUUAAUCUUCCUUUUAUGAUUAGUAGAGGUCUAUAUCUUUGUCUCCAUUAUACUCUUACCAAAUGUUUUUAUUAACAAUUGUCAUUGUUGGAGUGUUAAUUACUAGAUCAUCUGCAGCGUGAAACCACUUCCGAGAAAAAGUGUGCAAUUUUUUAAAAGCAGCAAACCUUCAUUUAGUUAUUAAAUUCUAGCAUUUUUAUAGAUAGUUGUUAUGCAAACUUUAUUAAUAAAUUUUUCAGUUCAUGUAUUAAAACCUUUAUUUUUUCUUUUGAAAUUUUAUGCCUAUAGUUUUAAAAAUAUCUCGAGUGUUAAAUAUCAUAUAUUCUUGUAGUAAUAGAUUAAAGGUAAGUUCAUAAUUAAUUAGUAAUGGAGUUUCGAUGUUUAAUUUUGACUAUAUUUUUUUGUCUUGUAGACUAAAUUUAAACGGCUAUGAGACAAUAAUGUCAAUGCCUGGAUAUUAAUCAGUUAGUUCGAAAAUGGAAGAUUAUAAAUGUGAACUAAAAGCAAAAUACAUGAUAGAGGACUAUUACAGAGCAAAAUAGUGAAUGUUGUUCCGAAUGGAAAUUGUGCCGCAACAGUGGGUGGACUUGUGAUUACUGGUUUUCAGAAAAAGUCGGUAAAGUGAAUUUUAUACGUUAAAUUAUUAUUCCUUGAAGUUUACUAAUUUAUGGUUCUAAAUGGCAAUUUUUUUUUGGCGAACACUGUAUAUACUCUCGGAUAGGGCGAGAUCCUGUGCAAACAUACAAGCUCCGUCACAACGACGCGCUAUGGUCUUUUGCUAGAAAAGACACAAUUGUAUGUAAUUAUAUUACUUUUAGUUUUUAUAAGUAAAGCUAUCUAGUUCUUUUUUUAACCUUAAUAUAUAUACUUGCGUUUGCGGCAAGCAAUUAAAGCUUAUGUGAUUACACUUUCUGUUUUUGAAGUUUGUUGAGUAGUUUCAACUUGUAUAUUUGGGACUGAAUUUAUUCACUACAAUUAACUUUAUUACAGGAAAAAGCGAAAAACAAAGAGGAACCUGGACGCUAUUGAAUUUUUUGCAAUUUACUCACAAAUCAAAGAUGGGAUUUAUGAUUAACACUACAGCAAGUUAACUUGUUAGUGCGUAUAAUAAUCACAAUGCUAUGAAUUACAAACUAUACAAACAGGCAAUUUUUUAUAGUUUGAUGAACUUCUCUUGUUAUUUUCUUAUGCAGGAAUGAUGCCGUAUGGUGGAAGUGGAAUGUAAUAUUGCUUCAGGAUCUUCAACUUCAAUUAGCAUGAAUUGUGCGAGAAUGAUGCUUUCAUUGGCAUAAAGGGCAAAAGAUCGAUAUCGGUCGAGUAAGAGGGUAUGGAAUUGGAUGUAGUUGCCAACUCAAGUCCUUGGGCCCACAAGCAUAUUCGGGCUGUUCGAUAUGAUGAUAAUACGGAAAGAAGUACAAGAUUGAAAUUCGAAAGAUAAAGUUGAUGGAAGAUACAUAUGAGUCAAGAUUGCGUUGGCAUGCAGAAGAAAUAUGAAUCAAAAUUAGCGAAGAUACAUCAAAUUAUGAAUCCACGAAUGGGUGGAAUGCAAUCUCAGUUGAGUGAAACUCACCUCUAUAAUGUUAACUUGUCAGCACAUCUGAUAUUUUAGGUGCCCGAAUCGAGGGCGUCGUCCAUCACUUAGAAGAAUUUCGUUUAUUCCUCAUUUUGAGCUUUACUUACAUUAGAACUCGAAUAGUUUAGCAUAUAUAUUUUGUUUUGUUGAUCAUUUUGAGCUUUAUGUUUGGUGAAAUUGAAACAAUUCUGUAUGUUUUAUAUUUGAAUUGUUCAAUACUAACUAGUUGCUUUCUAGAAUCAUUUUUAAUUUCUCAUAAAUUUGUUUGUGUUUUUUUUUUUCUGUGAAUGUUCAUUUCUUUUUAUUGUUGCAUGAGUAGUAGAUGUGUAAUUUGUAGGAUAUAUGAUUUGAAAGUUUUGAUAAAAUGUCUGAUCAGAAAAAAUGAAUCAAAAUUUUCUAAAAAAUUUAAAAAAUUAUUUUAUGAUAGUUUAAAUGCUUGAAAUCUGACGAGGCUUGCAAGCACCGGCAAACGUGCCGACGCUAUAAAGUGUCGUUAAAUUUUAAAAUUUUUUAUAAUAACCUGGCACUUGAGGACAUGUUGGAGCGUCGGCAAAAUUAAAUUAACGACGCACGAGAGCGUCGGUAGCAAUUAACCGACGCAUGCACAAAGCGUCGCUAUUUUGCUCCCGACACUGCAUUUAACGACGCACCUGCCGACGCUUUUCUUUGCGUCGGUGGACAUUUUUCCGACGCUUAAUAGCGUCGUAAAGUUAAAAAAAAAGGGUAGCUAGAAACCCCUUUUGUUGUAGUGAACUAUCGUUAUAGUCCUUCACUGCUCCUUUGCAAUCAUAACAGGCUUUAUACCACCAACCAUAGAUUGUGUCUAUUGUCGCCAACUUUGCUUUGCAAGUGUAUUUCGAACUCUGUAUAAGAAAAUAAAAGCUGAUACACUCUUUUAUUAUUUAAAAUAAUAGGCUUCACAUGUUGAGAAAUAAAGAAAUAAAAGUUUAUGACUAAUAAUUGACCUCAAAAAAAAAUUUCAUUAUUAUAUUCUUACUUGUAAUUCAUCUGGAUUUAACUUGAGUAAUUUAUCAAUAGUCUUGCGAUUUAUGGAUAUUUGUUCAUAAGGACUGAGGAUUGGCUCAUUUAAAGAUUUCAUAUGUUGUAUCGGUGCAACUGGUGUGUCUUCUGUAGAAAAAAACAUAUUAGAAAAUAUCCUAAGAUAAGUUUUUUUAAUAAUAAAUAAGUAUUGUUAAAUACCCGCACAAAUUAUUGCGGAAAUCUACAACUUCUUGUAUUUCCAAAUUGCCGUAGAUUUUUUAUGCCGAACAUGUUGAUAUAUAGAGCUGAUCUGUAAUUGCAAACAAUAACAUAUUUAGUUGUUGACAAUGUUAAUAACAUGUAAAAUAAAAGUUUUUAUAUAAGAAGGUAUUCAAUGUUACCUCUGUAGGUUCGCACACUCAUACUUGCAAAAAUAACAAUAGCUGGACCAUCGACUUUUUCCUGAUGCUGGUUAUCAUUAAAUUCAAUAGCAAAUUUGUCCCAUAAUGUGACGGAUAAUGUUUCAUCCCUACAAAAUAUAUUAAUAUUUGAUGCUACAAUUAAUAACUGUAAUACAAAAAAAUAGUCAAUCUGUAGUAUCCUUAUAUAUAUAUAUAUAUAUAUAUAUAUAUAUAUAUAUAUAUAUAUAUAUAUAUAUAUAUAUAUAUAUAUAUAUAUAAUGCCACGUGCCCCUAUGCAUGUAUUUCAUGCUUAUCUAAUUAGGGGUUGUACAUGCCUCCUUAAUUAAAAUUUCCUCCCUCUCUGUCUCUGGAGCCAUACGCGAGGAGGAGGAGCUUGGGUGGAGCGUUCGUCGCCGACGUCGCAUCGCCAAGCCGUUUGAGCGCACGUUUGUCGCCAUAGCGUCGCGUGGAGGCCGGGCGAGGGUGCGUUUUCGCCAUCCUCGACGUCGCACCGGCGCUGGAUUCGCUGUCGAUGUGGGUACCUAACUUUCCUCCUUGGAUUACUUGAACGCACGAUUUUGAGCUCGCGUGCUGAUUUUACUGAUUUUCAGCGUCGGCCAUCAGUGUUUCGGCUCGUACUCGGCGUAGGAAAGUCGGAUUUCGACGGGACUUGGUUCGUUGGAUUCAGGACUUCGAGAGGAAUCCACGAAGCCCUUAUUUGCUGGAUUUAGUGAAGGUUUGCUAGGUCGUAUCCCUAUUUCUUUCUGCUGCUGCUGUUUUGGGCAGAAUUGAUGCUUAAUAUGGGUUUCUAUGUUUAGACCCGUGGAGCGUGUUGUCGCUGGUUCGGGGAGCUGCGCCGAGCUUGACAGGGACUCCGGUGACCUUCUUCACCGUCGGGGAUUUGCGAUUAAGGUGGGUUAAUCAUCGGUUUACUCCUAAGUGCCUAUAUAGUCGACAUGUAAUUGUGGAAUUAUCUUGUGUGGCGCAAUUGCUCGGUUCAUUGAUUUAGUAUGGUUAAUAAUCUGAAUUGGAGCUGAGUUAUUAUCUUUGGAUAUAUAUAUACAUGUUGGACUUGGAUAAGACUUAGGAGAAAACUCGCGAUUAUGAUCGUCAUAUAUUUAAACUACCUGAUUUAGCCCUAGGGGCCGUUGUAUUAUUUUAUACUGUAGCAGUAUCCUCAUAGUGAGUAUUCCAGAUAGUUUAGCUUUCAGUUACGCUCGUGCCGGGAUGCCGAGUAUAUUUUUACAGUAGCGUUCAGGCUGUUCCGGACUGUUGGGUGCCGUCGGGGUUGACGGUGGACCCGUAUCGCCUUUUUGGCGUCGGAUUGUGCCGAGGGCACGUUACCUGUUGGUUGUUAGACCAGUUUGAGUCGGUUACUGGACUUUGGCUUUUGAGAGCCUGAUUGAGCUCGACAGAGAUACGCUGCAUACUCGGUUGGGUAGCUCCCACGAGUGCCACUCCGGAGACGGGCGCUGUGCUUUCGCGUUCGUGUCGCUCAUGCCGGUUGGACUUGCUCUCCACGGACUAGUAGUGUGGAGGUAGCUGGAUAGUCACAACUGAGCAGGGACGGGUGUGUUCACAGUCCCAGGGACGGGUAUGCUUACAGUCCCGAUUGGAUUGGGUCAAAUUUGACAUUUCCUACAGUUGGUUAAUGUAGAGCAUGAUAGUGUAGUGAUUCAUAGCAGUAGAUUUUAUUCCUGUAUUGACUACUAUCCUGGCUCCCUUCUGUAGACUUAGUGGGUAGACCGAUGUGGUUUAGGGCGGCACCCACUAAGGACUACCUGUUUUUAUAGUAGUUCUCACGCCCUGUUGUUACACAUUAUUUUUGCAGAGCCAUCGUCGUCGGCUGCUGCUAUCGCAGAUCAGGAUCGAGGCAAGGGCGUCACGAGUUAGAGCACUACCCGACAUGCCAAGCUAGAGGUACCCUACUGCUGGUAGAUAUUUUAUUUUGAGUUCAUGUACAUAGUAUACUUAACUCGCCAGUGCGAGUAGCUCUGUAUUUUGAUUUUUGGACUAUGUAUAUGGAUCUCCGUUUAUUUAGCUUCUGUUUACUCUAGCAGCUCUAUACUACUGUUUGUAGUAUUGUUUGGUUUACAGAUACAGCUGUCGCUUCGUAUACAGGAAAAAUUCCUUUGCAUACGGCGGAUUUGUCGGCGUGCCCGUGGAACGUGUAAUCCGGGGCGUGACAGAUUAAGUUGGUAUCAAAGCUUAGCUGUAGGUCGUUGGGACCUAGAAAACCUAAGUUUGGCAAACCUUAGGAAGGCAAGACGCGAGAGGCGUAAUUUAUUGCGAAAGUCAAUGAUUAAUUGUUCUAACUCCUCCUAGAGUGGAGUGAGUGAUUGAAGGAGUUCCUGUUUUGGCUUGAGAAAUUAUGUUAGCUGCAGACGACAUAAUUUUGGAGGGAAACAGGGGGCCGCCUUCUAGACUUUCUUUUGAUUGGGUUGAGAGUGUUUGUAUUGUAUCUGACCUCUAUCUGUUUCUUGCAGCUAUGUAUCGUCGCCGAGGUCGACCGUCAUUAUGAGAGCGUGCGCAGUUGGCGCAGGAUCGUGCUAGAUCUUCCGAGAUGCCUGAGCAGAUGGAGCAGGGUACUCGGCAGGAGCAGGGUGACAGGCCGGAGGCGAGUGCACCCCCUGUUGUGGAGCCGAGUGCGCGACCUGAGGCUAGCGCACCCCCUGAUCUGAGUGCACAGUUAGCUGCCCUGACUGAGGUGACGAGGCAGCAGGGGGAGUUGUUGCAGAGGUUGUGUGAGAGGGUGGCUCAGACACCGAGUGCUGCACCGAGAGUACCAGAGCAGACUGUUCCGCCACCGACUACUCCAGUGUCAGCUCCAGCCACAGCUAUGCCCCCACCAGUGGAACUUCCUGCAGUGCCAACUGCGCCUGCUAGGGGGCCCGUACAGUUGACUGAUGCCGAGCAGGAGCGGUGGACGAAGAGGUUGGCUCGUUUUCGCCGUUUUGAUCCACCGAUUUACGAUAGCAGAUGUACUGAGGCCUGGGUUGUUGAGGGAUGGGUCAGUGCGAUGGAGAAGCUAUUUGAGGAUCUGUUCAUUCCGGAGGGGGAGUAGGUACCUCUGGGAGUACACUGUUUGGCAGGUGAUGCUCAUGACUGGUGGCGGAGAGCAAGGCGAGACCAGGGGCUGGUGGCGGCGCAGCUGAGGUGGGAUGAGUUCUGUGGAAUGCUGUUUGGGAUGUUCUUUCCCAACAGUGUGAAGCAGAAGCUCGAGGAGGAUUUGAGGAGGCUUCAGCAGGGAGAUCGCCCAGUGCAGGAGUAUGUUCGGGAGUUUACUCGACUCCUGAACUGUGUACCAUUUGCGGCCAGAGACGAAGCGCACAUGGUGUAUAUGUUCGAGCAGGGGCUGAGACUGGAUAUCUUUAGGUUGACUCGGACGCAGAGGUCGAGGACUCUGGAUGCGUCUAUAGAGCAGGCCUUGUGGGUGGAGCGAGGUAAGACAUCGCUACAGGAGAGGACUCAGGCCGUGGGGCAGAGUCAGGAUAGGAAGCGCCCUUUUUCAGAUGACGGAGGACAGUCGAGCAGCAAACGUCCGCCGAGGCCUCCACGAUCACGUUCUCAAGGUCGUGGGUCUUCGGGGCGUCAGCGUUCCAAGGGAUCCCGUCAGCAGGGGCAGACUCAAAGUACGCCACAGUGUGUGAUCUACGGGGGACCACACUGGCCCCGACAGUGCGAGCAGAGAGAGGGCAAGUGCUACGGAUGUGGUCAGCCGAGACACGUGAGGGCAGCUUGUCCCCGAGCAGCGUCUCCAGCACCAUCAUCAGCUUAAGCACCACCAGCACCACAGCAGUCUUACGGCGCAGCACCAAGUUACCGCCAGGAGGACAGAUCGUCUGUGCCGCGGUCGAGUGAGCGGCGACAACAGGCUCCGAGUGGUAGGGUCUACGCAGCUCAGGUGGAGGACUCUACAGCAGCCGACCGAGUGGUGGCAGGUAUCACUUUGAUUUCUGGCAUUAGAGUUCGCACUCUUUUUUAUACCGGUGCAUCGCAUUCCUUUGUUAACCGAACAUUUACACAGUUGCAUGGUCUAGAGUUAGGAGCGUUGUCUCAGGCACGAGAGGUGCAGAUCCCAGACCAUGUUUUGCAGGUGAUGGAGUGUUGUUGGUCAUGUCCGGUGCAGUUAGACUCGUGGAUUAUGCCCGCAGACCUGUUGGUGUUAGGGCAGCUACAGGACUUCGACGUCGUGCUCGGUAUGGAUUGGCUGGCGCGGUACUAUGCUACGAUCGACUGUGGAGCGAGGACGGUGACGUUUCGCGAGCCAGGCCAGGAGGAGUUCACUUUCAGAGGCUGUAGGAGCACGCUGUUUGCUACUUAGAUAUCUUCGGCGAGGGCUCGACAGAUGCUGAGUAGUGGGUGUAUCGCUUUCCUAGCGACUGUUGUGGAGGUACCUACGGUGGCGCCGGGACUUGAGGACAUCCCAGUAGUCCGCGAGUUUCCGGAUGUGUUUUACCCUCAGUUGACGACGUUGCCGCCGAAGAGGGAGGUUGAGUUUGUGAUUGAUGUAGUUUCUGGAACUGCACCAAUCUCAAAGGUACCUUAUCGGAUGGCGCCGGCAGAGCUGAGAGAGCUAAAGGCACAGCUUCAGGAUCUGAUGGAUAGAGGGUUUGUGAGACCCAGUGUGUCGCCUUGGGGAGCGCCGGUGUUAUUUGUAAAGAAGAAUGAUGGUUCGCUCAGGUUAUGUGUGGAUUACCGGGAGCUGAAUAAAGUGACCAUCAAGAAUAAGUAUCCCUUGCCGCGUAUUGAUGAUUUGUUUGAUCAGCUGCAAGGAUCUUAUGUCUUCUCAAAGAUUGAUCUCCAGUCGGGUUACCACUAGUUGAGGGUGAGGGCUGAGAAUGUUCCCAAGACGGCUUUCCGGACUCAGUACGGACAUUGUGAGUUCACGGUGAUGCCUUUUGGAUUGACGAAUGCCCCUGCCGCAUUCAUGAAUUUGAUGAACCGAGUGUUCAAGCCGUUCUUGGACAGGUUUGUGGUAGUCUUCAUUGAUGACAUAUUGAUAUACUCCCGGAGCGAUGCUGAGCAUGAGGAGCACUUGAGGACUGUGCUACAGCUUCUGCGAGAGAAGAAGUUGUAUGCCAAGUUAAAGAAGUGCGAGUUCUGGUUACGGGAGGUCACUUUCUUGGGCCACGUGAUAUCAGCAGAGGGAGUAGCAGUUGACCCGAAGAAGAUUGAUGCGAUUCGGGGUUGGCCUAGACCGACGACGGUGACAGAGGUGCGGAGUUUUCUUUGAUUAGCAGGAUAUUACCGUCGGUUUGUGGAAGGCUUUGCGAAGCUUUCCACACCUCUCACUCGAUUGACGCGCAAGGGGAUUAGAUUCACCUGGAGUGAGGAUUGUCAGAGGAGCUUUGAUAAGUUGAGACAGAGGUUGACGUCAGCUCCUAUCCUUGCCCUUCCUGUGAUGGGGGAAGGAUUUGUAAUCUACAGUGAUGCGUCGCACAGUGGACUCGGUUGUGUGUUGAUGCAGCAUGGUAGGAUAAUUGCUUAUGCUUCACGGCAAUUAAAGGAUUAUGAGAAGAAUUACCCUACGCAUGACUUGGAGCUUGCCGCGGUGGUUUUUGCUCUGAAGCUCUGGCGGCAUUACUUGUAUGGCGAGCACUGCGAGGUCUUCACCGAUCAUAAAAGUCUCAAGUAUCUGUUCACACAGAGAGAGCUGAACCUGAGGCAGCGCCGGUGGUUGGAGUUACUGAAGGACUAUGACAUUAGUAUUCAGUAUCAUCCCGGCAGGGCGAAUGUUGUCGCAGAUGCGUUGAGCAGGAAGUCAGUGCAGAGCCUGAGUUUGAGAAUCACUGAGCAGAGACCCCUUCUCGAGGAGCUGCAGCGGCUGGGACUCGAGAUAGUACCCCCUGGGUCUACGGCGAGGCUGACGUCUCUAGUUUUACAGCCCACUCUGUUGGAUAGGAUCCGAGAGAAACAGAGUGGAGAUCCGUACUUGAUGAGGAUUAGAGAGCAGCUAAACAGGGGGCAGGGUGAGGGUUUUGGUUUAGACAGUUCGGGAGUACUACGGUACAGGGACCGACUGUGUGUGCCUGUGGAUUCUGAGAUUCGAGCAGACAUUCUGAGAGAGGCUCAUUGUUCUCCUUAUACGGUUCACCCUGGGAGAAUCAAGAUGUAUAAGGAUCUUAAGGCACGGUUCUGGUGGCCUGGAAUGAAGAGGAACAUUGGCAGAUUUGUGGUUCAGUGUUUGACUUGCCAACAGGUGAAGGCCGAGCAUCAGGUGCCUGCUGGCAAGCUUCAGAGUCUGCCAGUGCCCGAGUGGAAGUACGAGUACAUCACGAUGGACUUCGUCGUUGGAUUGCCUAGAGGGCAAGGAGGCUACGACGCGAUUUGGGUGAUAGUGGACAGACUGACCAAGUCUGCUCACUUCCUACCGGUUCAGACUACCUGGUCCAGAGAGAGAUUCGCGCAGCUAUACCUGGAUGAGAUUGUCUGGCUACACGGCGUGCCGGUAUUGAUUGUGUCAGACAAAGACCCGAGAUUUGUAUCUCAGUUUUGGAGGAGUCUACAGACAGCCUUGGGCACUCCGCUGCAUUUCAGCACGGCGUUCCACCCACAGACAGAUGGUCAGUCAGAGAGAACCAUACAAACUCUAGAGGACAUCCUGAGAGCAUGCGUCCUGGAUUUUGGAGGAGGGUGGUAUCGGCAUUUGAGACUGACUGAGUUUGCGUACAACAACAGCUAUCAAACGAGCAUCCAGAUGGCUCCGUUUGAGGUGUUGUAUGGACGGAGAUGUCGAUCCUCUUUGUUCUGGAGCGAUGUGGCUGAGAGGACUUUAGGACCUGAGAUUUUGCUAGAGGCUGAGGAAAAGGUGAGAGUUGUUCGACGACACCUUUUGACAGCCUAGAGCAGCCAGAGGAGCUACGCCGAUAUCAGGAGACGAGACUUAGAGUUUCAGAUUGGAGAUCAUGUUUUCCUCAAAGUCUCGCCGUCCAGAGGGAUACGUCGAUUUGGGGUACGUGGAAAGCUCAGUCCACGAUUCGUUGGCCCUUUCGAGGUAUUGGAACGAGUUGGACCAGUUGCUUACAGGAUAGCUCUACCCCCGCGACUUGCUGGCAUCCACAAUGUUUUCCACGUCUCAACUUUGAGGAGAUACGUUUUCGAUCCCUCUCACGUGAUCGACUUCACUCCACUCGAGAUUGGCGAGGAUCUAAGAUACGAGGAGCGACCGUUGCGGAUUCUUGCUCGAGAGACAAAAGAAUUGCGCAACCGGAUCAUUCCGUAUGUGAAAGUGUAGUGGAGCAAUCACGAGGAGCGGGAGGCGACUUGGAAGCCUGAGACAGUGAUGAGGGAGUCUUACCCAGACUUGUUUGAUUCUUCAAGUUGAGGUAUGUGCUAAGUUUCGAGGACGAAACUUUUUGUAGUGGGGGAGAAUGUAGUAUCCUUAUAUAUAUAUAUAUAUAUAUAUAUAUAUAUAUAUAUAUAUAUAUAUAUAUAUAUAUAUAUAUAUAUAUAUAUAUAUAUAUAUAUAUAUAUAUAUAUAUAUAAUGCCACGUGCCCCCAUGCAUGUAUUUCAUGCUUAUCUAAUUAGGGGGUUGUACAUGCCUCCUUAAUUAAAAUUUCCUCCCUCUCUGUCUCUGGAGCCAUACGCGAGGAGGAGGAGCUUGGGUGGAGCGUUCGUCGCCGACGUCGCAUCGCCAAGCCGUUUGAGCGCACGUUUGUCGCCGUAGCGUCGCGUGGAGGCCGGGCAAGGGUGCGUUUUCGCCGUCCUCGACGUCGCACCGGCGCUGGAUUCGCUGUCGAUGUGGGUACCUAACUUUCCUCCUUGGAUUACUUGAAUGCAUGAUUUUGAGCUCGCGUGCUGAUUUUAUUGAUUUUCAGCGUCGACCGUCAGUGUUUCGGCUCGUACUCUGCGUAGGAACGUCGGAUUUCGACGGGACUUGGUUCGUUGGAUUCAGGACGUCGAGAGGAAUCCACGAAGCCCUUAUUUGCUGGAUUGUGCCGAGGUAGUUCCAGCAGUAUAGUGAUUCAAUCAAGCUAAAAAGCCUGAUUGAGCUCGACAGAGAUACGCUGCAUACUCGGUUGGGUAGCUCCCACGAGUGCCACUCCGAAGAUGGGCGCUGUGCUUUCGCGUUGGUGUCGCUCAUGCCGGUUGGACUUGCUCUCCACGGACUAGUAGUGUGGAGGUAGCUGGAUAGUCACAACUAAGCAGGGACGGGUGUGUUCACAGUCCCAGGGACGGGUAUGCUUACAGUCCCGAUUGGAUUGGGUCAGAUUUGACAUUUCCUACAGUUGGUUAGUGUAGAGCAUGAUAGUGUAGUGAUUCAUAGCGGUAGAUUUCAUUCCUGUAUUUACUACUAUCCUGGCUCCCUUCUAUAGAUUUAGUGGAUGGACCGAUGUGGUUUAGGACAGCACCCACUGAGGACUACAUAUUUUUACAGUAGUUCAGUCACGUCCCGCUAUCGCCAACUUGGUCGAUCCUGGUCCGUACACAGACGUCGAACGAACAGAACCUCCGCUGUCCGCCCAAGGCUCAACAACAAGUACAUGUAUAAAGAAAUAAACAAUUCCCAGGAUAACAUUUCAAUAUACAUGACUUGCACGAGGGCAAGCAACAAGAACAAGUGAAAGUAACUAACUAUAAAUGAAAUUCACUGUCAUUUAAAACUUUUUAAAUUGAACUGAAUAACUGAAAGAUUUAGUUAUAUACAUGCUCUCUAAUACAUUCAUUUACAUGUCUCUAUACAUCAAAACAUCUCACAUGAACUCAAAAUGGUAUGCCACUAGCACUCGGGUGUCCACUAGCUAAGCUGCUGGGCUCUUGCCGCGAUCCUCGGCCACACCGCUCGCGCUGGAACCUGUAUGGUUAGUGGUGUGAGAACUACUAAAAGUUUUCAGUAGGUUCGGCCGCCGACCUCGCCGACUCACCCACUAGGUCUAUUCAGGCAUAUGUAGGCAAGAAAAGUAAACAGAUAGUAACCAGCUAUAACAUGUAACUACUACAAUACCUGUGCAAAGCUGAAAGAAGUAGUAUAUGAAAACUGUAAAUAUGCAUGCAUGCUCUCACUGAAAUUACCCAAUUCUUUUGGUUAACCCUUUGGUUAACAAUAACUCACUGACGCUAUCCCAAAUAUCGGGGAGACGCAACCUGCACCCGACGGGACCGUCAACUGGGGGAGACGCACCUCCUGGUCCAAUAAAGAUGACUACUCCGGAG